Molecule: long non-coding RNA, 63442 nt
Filed under: Vitis vinifera (wine grape)
Lineage: Eukaryota; Viridiplantae; Streptophyta; Magnoliopsida; Vitales; Vitaceae
Description: long non-coding RNA (VVIN_LNC004824)
Source: RNAcentral
GAGGAAAUCCACAAAGUGCGGGGUUGCCCUGGUAAAUAGACAGAUUAAUCAAGGUUUGAAACUGGUUGCCUGUUGGGAUUUUCCCUGACAAGUUAUUGUGUGACAGAUUCAGGUGAACCAAAAAGGUUAUGGAAGCCAUGCUCAUUGGAAUUGAACCAGAAAGUUUGUUUCUUGAUAGGUCGAGGAUCUCCAACCACUGCAAGUUUCCAAUCUUUUCUGGUAUAUUUCCCCCAAAAUUAUUGCUGGACAGAUUCAAGGUUCCCAGUUUCAGAAGGCUUGUUAGUUCGAUAGGAAUCUCCCCUGAUAAGCUAUUAUUGGAAAGAACCAGACUAUUCACAGGGUAGAGAAUGUUAUAGUAUUCCAGUGCUCUUCAUUUAGUAACAAGUUUCAAGCGUCCCUCGUAUUGUGCCAUAUCUGUAUAUCAUCAUCUGAAAGUUCAGAUUUGAAGCCACUCAAGUUCCGGAGGAUUGAAUCCUGGCACAUUGUUGUGUGAGACGUCCAGUAUGUGAAGGGUGGAAAGGGCACAGAUUUCUGAAGGAAUAUUACCGCUGAAGAAGUUGGACCACAAGGCUAAAAUCAAGAGGGAUGGAAUGCUUUCUUCUAUCUAGGAUGGAAUGUUUCCAGAAAAUUUGUUAUCACCAAGAUCAAGGCUUUCCAAGGCACUGCAGUUUUGCAGCUGGGAAGGAAGUUCACCAGAGUGACUGUUGUUGGAUAGCGCCAAGAAUCUGAGUGCCGUGAGGGAAACCAUUGAUCUUGGUAUUAUACCUGAGAGGCUGUUGUUUGACAUACCUGCAAUAUACAGGGAAGGCAUCUCAUUCCAGAUCUGAGGAAUUUCUCCACAUAAAUUAUUUUUGGAGAUAACCAAGGUGAUCAAAGCCUGUAGAUUACCUAUAGACAAGGGAAUGCUGCCAUUCAGAGAGUUCCAAGAGAUAUCCAAAUCUGUCAGAAUGGGUAUUACUUCACCAAUGUUCCGAGGAAUUGGUCCAGAAAACAAAUUACUCCUCAAAUACAGUGUACUCACAUUAAAAUACUGUUGAUAUCAUGUCAACUGGGGAUGGAUUCCUCUCUCUGAGGUAGCAAUGAAAGCUCCCAUUCAGAUGUUGGAAUUUGGACUUCCUGUUUCCCUACACAAAGAUGUCUGGACAGGUUAUCCAGGCACACCCUUCGAAGCCCAAGUCAGAUGCUAGGAAGAAUGGAAACCCUUAGAGAGAGAGAUCAUAGAACUCACAGUGUCCUCUCAUUCUAUUAUAUUACAGUAGGGUUUUUAUAGUGUUCAAAGGUGGAGAGGGGCUCAGUAGUGCUGAGUUGGCCAUUGUAGUGAUGAUUGCGCAAUAGUGAUAAGGUAAUCAUCAUAUUUGCAGGACGACUGGGAGCUGUGUUAGACGACGCGUCAUGACAUAGCUUGCCGUUCUUUCAACCUUGCUGGUGACCUAAGACUUGAUGUGCCUGUCUACUGAAGUAGAUGUGAGGAUGGGAAAGGUCUCAUCAGUCAAUCUAGUGUCAGCUAACCAGGGCCUCACAUAUCAAACAAGAUUUGAGGCUAUUAGGGGGAAGCGGGCCGCUCAGUGGCUCAAAUGGUUUGGACAGAAUGUUCCCCUGGGUGCCUUGAAGGUUGUCUGAAUAGUGAUGAAGACUGUCACGUGGCCCAACUGGGAUAAUGCCACGUGGACAGACGUGUGGAUGUACUCGUGGGUGGACACGUGGGAUAAGGCCCCCACAAAUACCAAAGUGGGAGAGGACCAUCAAAGAGGUUUGAGCUCAAAUCAACAUUGGAUAUGUAGUUGAACACUAGUGAGUUUGGAACUUUGCCUCUUAAUUGAUUAUAAGCAAUGUUGAGUUCAUUGAGCUGCAUUAUUCAGCACCAUAGUGGUUAACUCUGUUGGAAACGUGCCUUAAGUUGCUACAGUUAUGGGCAAACAAAAAGUUGCUGAAUAAUUGGUCAAUAGACCAAGUUUUUAGGAAAUAUUUUCUGCACAUAUAUAUAUAUAUAUAUAUAUAUAUAUAUAUAUAUAUUUUGGCUUGAUAUUAGGAAUUGGUUAGACAUGGCUUGAAAUUAGCAAAUUCUCUUGACUUUCUGUUAUGUUUCAGCUCUAUAUAAAGAGCAAUGCAAUGAAUAAAACAUACUUCCAGAUACCAAGUUUUUUUUCUUUACUAAAAAAGUUUUGUUUUUCCUUUGCUGUCAUAAAAUUUCUGUCCUGUUCUUGUGUCAUAUAUCAACAAUUUGGUAUUAGAGCACUUCUUCUUGAGGGAUCUGUGAGUUGAGUGAAUCCAUAAAUGGAAGUUGAAACAACUUUCUCCCAUGUUGCACCACCGAUUUUUGAUAGUGAUAACUAUCAAGCUUGGGCUGUUAGAAUGACAGUCCAUCUUGAAGCAUUAGAUCUUUGGGAAGCUAUAAAGGAAGACUAUGAUGUUCCCUCAUUGCCGGAAAACCCUACGAUGACUCAGCUUAAGACCCACAAAGAGAGGAAGAUCAGGAAAUCCAAAGCUAAAGCCUACUUAUUCUAUGCUGUUUUAAGCACUAUAUUUACAAGAAUCAUGAACCUGGAGUCAGCAAAAGAUAUUUGGGACUACCUUAAAAAGGAAUACCAAUGCAAUGAAAGAACCAAAAAUAUGCAAGUACUCAACUUGAUCAGGGAGUUUGAAAUGCUGAAAAUGAAGGAGACAGAAACCAUCAAAGACUACUCUGACAAGUUGCUGGGUAUAGUAAACAAGGUGAGGUUGCUUGGUAAGGACUUCUCUGAUGAACGAAUUGUGCAAAAAAUUCUUGUAACUCUGCCUGAAAAGUAUGAGUCUAAAAUUUCCUCAUUAGAAGAAUCUAAGGAUUUGUCAAGCAUAUCCUUGGCAGAAUUGGUGAAUGCAUUGCAGACACAAGAGCAAAGGAGAAUGAUAAGAAAAGAAGAAUCGAUGGAGGGUGCUCUUCAAGAAAAGGCAUAAAAUUCAGGAGAAGGCAAAGAUAAGAAAAACAACAAUAAGAAGAAGAACAACAAGACUGACAGCAACAACAAAAACAAGGAUGGAACCUAUCCACCUUGCCCACACUGUAAAAAGACAAAUCACCCACAAAGGAAGUGCUGGUGGAGGCCUGAUGUCAAGUGCAGGAAAUGUGGUUAGAUUGGACACAUGGAGCGGAUUUGCAAGUCACAACAACAUGAAGAGGCAAAAGCUUCUACUGAGCAACAUCAAGAAGAACAACAACUUUUUGUUGCAACAUGCUUCACAACAAGUAACAGCUCUAGCGAUUCCUGGUUGAUUGAUAGUGGCUGCACAAACCACAUGACCAAUGACCAAGAGCUCUUUAAGGAGCUUGAUAAAAUUAUCAUCUCUAAAGUAAAAAUUGGAAAUUGUGAAUGUAUUUCAGUUAAGGGUAAAGGAACUGUGGCUAUAGAAAGCUUAACAGGUUUGAAGUAUAUUACUAAUGUUCUAUAUGUGCUUGACAUUGAUCAAAACCUACUUAGUGUUGGAUAGCUGAUUGAAAAAGGUUUCAAAGUCAUAUUUGAAGACAAAUGGUGCAUGAUCAAAGACGCAAAAGGUAGAGAUGUAUUCAAAGUGAAAAUGAGAGCAAAAAGCUUUGCUCUAAAUCUAAUGGAGGAUGAGCCAAUAGCAUUUUCAAGCACUGUAAGCAAUGCAGAAUUAUGGCACAGAAGGCUCAGGCAUUUCCACCAUGUUGGACUUCUUCUAUAUAUGCAGAAAUAGAAUUUGGUGAAAGGUGUGCCAUUGUUGGAAGACAAGCUAGCUGAUUGUGUAGCUUGUCAAUAUGACAAGCAAACUAGAAGACCAUUUCCUCAAACAGCAUGGAGAGCAAUGCACAAGCUGCAACUGAUACACACAAAUGUUGGAGGACCUCAGAAAACACCAUCUUUAAAUGGUAAUAAGUAUUACAUUGCAUUUAUUGAUGAUUAUACCAGAUUUUGUUGGAUUUAUUUCCUCAAAUCCAAAUAUGAGGUUGCUAAUGUAUUUUGGAAAUAUAAAGCAUGGGUGGAGAAUCAAAGCAGUUGCAGGAUGCAGAAGAUAAGGUCAGAUAAUGGGAAAGAAUACACAAAUGAAAUUUUUUAUAAGUUCUGUGAAGAAGCCGGUAUUGAGCACCAACUCACAAUACCUUACACUCCACAACAGAAUGGAGUAAGUGAGAGAAAAAAUCGAAGUAUUAUGGAGAUGACAAGGUGUAUGCUACAUGAGAAGGAGUUGCUAAAGAAAUUGUGGGUAGAGGCUGCAAACACUGCAGUUUUUUUGCUGAAUAGGCUGCCAACUAGAGUUUUGCAGAAAAAAACUCCAUUUGAAGCCUGGUUUGGUUAUAAACCAAAUUUGCAGAAUCUAAGAACUUUUGGUUGUCUAUGUUUUUCUUAUGUGCCAUAGGUAAAAAAAGACAAACUUGAUAAGAAGGUAGAACCAAGAGUUUUCAUUGGAUAUAACAACUCUUCCAAGGCUUACAAAAUUUUCCAACCACAAAAUGGAAAAAUUCUUGUAAGUAGAGAUGUCAAGUUCAUGGAGGAUAGACAAUGGAACUGGGAAGAGUCAAUAAAGAUGCAACUGCCAGAGGUUCUGCAAUACUUUGAUAAAGACAUAGAUGAUGUCCCGGUUAGAGGUACAAGGUCCUUAUCUGAUGUUUAUGAAAGAAACAAUGUUGCUGUUUUUGAGCCUACAGAAUUUGAAGAGGCAGAGAAGGAUGACAAGUGGAUUGAAGCAAUGAAAGAGGAACUUAGAAUGAUUGAAAAGAAUGACACCUGGGAGUUGGUGGACAGACCUCAACACAGAAAGGUCAUUGGAGUCAAAUGGGUUUAUAGAACCAAACUUAAUGCAGAUGGUUCUGUAAAUAAAUACAAAGUCAGAUUAGUUGUGAAGGGGUAUAGUCAAGUGUUUGGAGUGGAUUUCUUAGAAACUUUUGCUCCAGUAGCACGCUUGGAUACAAUCAGAAUGUUGCUUGCUUUGACAGCACAAAAGAGAUAGAAAACUUACUAGUUGGAUGUAAAAUCUGUUUUUUUAAAUGGUUAUCUUCAAGAGGAAAUUUAUGUAGAGCAGCCCAAGGGAUUCCAAGUCAAGGGACAGGAGGAGAAGGUCUGCUUGUUGAAGAAGGCCUUAUAUGGUCUUAAACAGGCUCCUAGGGCCUGGUACAGCAGGAUUGAUGAACAUCUUCAAAGUCUUGGAUUUGUUAAAAGUCCAAGUGAAGCUACAUUAUAUGUAAAAGGAACAGAUGCUAACUUGAUUGUAAUUUCUGUUUAUGUUGAUGAUCUGCUUGUAACAGGUAGCAAUGAGAAACUGGUAAAAGAGUUUAAAGCUGAAAUGCUCAAAGUAUUUGAGAUAACAGACCUUGGCUUGAUGUCCUACUUUCUGGGUAUGGAGGUGAAGCAAGAUCAGGAUGGAGUCUUCAUAAGCCAAAAGAAGUAUGCAAAGGAAAUGCUUAACAAAUUUCACAUGGAAGAUUGCAAAAGGACUAGCACACCAAUGAAUCAAAAGGAGAAAUUUAGCAAAGAUGAUGGAGCAAAAAAAGUGGAUGAAAGCCAAUAUAGGAGCCUGAUUGGUUGCUUGAUGUAUCUUACAGCCACUAGACCAGACAUAAUGUUUUCAGUAAGCUUGCUUUCAAGAUUCAUGCAUUGUGCCAAUGAAGUGCAUUUUCAAGCUGCCAAAAGGAUUGUAAGAUAUAUCAAGGGCACAACAAAUUAUGGCAUUAAAUAUUCUUAUUGUCAGAAUUUUGAACUUCAUGGUUAUUCUGAUAGUGAUUGGGCAGGUUCUAUUGAUGACAUGAUAAGUACAACAAGAUUUUGUUUCAGUUUUGGAUCUGGAAUUUUUUCAUGGUCCUCAAAGAAGCAAGAUGUGAUAGCUCAAAGUAUAGCAGAGACAGAAUAUGUAGCAGCCAAUGCUACUAUAAAUCAAGCAUUUUGGAUUAGAAAAAUACUUGCAGAUCUACACAUGAAACAAAAUGAGCCAACACAGAUUCAUGUAGAUAACCAAGUUGCAAUUGCAAUUUCAAGAUCAAGUUGUAUCACUUAAGAGAAGAACAAAAGGAUGGUGAAGUUAAACUGCUUUAUUGCAAGACUGAGGAUCAAAUUGCAGAUGUGUUAACCAAGGCUCUACCAAAAGCUAGAUUUGAAACCUUAAGAAGCAAAAUAGGCCUCUGCAACUACUAAGGCAAGGAGGAGUGUUGGAAACGUGCCUUAAGUUGCUACAGUUAUGGGCAAACAAAAAGUUGCUGAAUAAUUAGUCAAUAGACCAAGUCUUUAGGAAAUAUUUUCUGCAUAUAUAUAUAUAUAUAUAUAUAUAUAUAUAUAUAUAUAUAUAUAUAUAUAUAUAUAUAUAUAUUUGACUUGAUAUUAGGAAUUGGUUAGACAUGGCUUGAAAUUAGCAAAUUCUCUUGACUUUCUGUUAUGUUUCAACUCUAUAUAAAGAGCAAUGCAAUGAAUAAAACAUACUUCCAGAUACCAAGUUUUUUUUCUUUACUAAAAAAGUUUUGUUUUUUCUUUGCUGUCAUAAAAUUUCUGCCCUGUUCUUAUGUCAUAUAUCAACAAACUCAUUUUGAGUUCUAAGCCAGCUAGGAAAUUUGGGACCUAAUUGGCAAGAUCUAAGGUUGAUGUAUGUGAGUUUGAAAGGAGGAGCCCAGUCAGAGGAGAUGUUGAAAACCAAAGAAACAUUUGGAGAACUUUUAGUAAUCGACAAUUGCUUUAGGUUUGAGAGGUUGGCAAAGUGAGCUUUUGUUAUGACACCUUCCCAUGAAUUCUCAUUAAGCUCCAGCAUGACCAGCGAUGAGAGUUGUCCAAUGCUGUCUGGGAUGAUCCCACCCAUUUGAUUAUGAGAGAGGUACAAUACCUGUAAAGAUGAUAAGCUCCCAAUUGAUUCUGGAAUUGAACCGCAAAAUGAAUUAGACAGUAAUUGAAGAUAUCUUAAAUUCUUAAGAUGCCCCAAUGAAUCUUGUAGGUUUCCAGUCAGUUUAUUGUAUCCCAAAUCCAGAUUCUCUAAGGUGCUGUAAGAGCAUGCAAAUAAGCCAUCGAGGAACUCAGUUAUCUCACCAGAAAGUUUGUUAACAGAGGAUCAAUGUCCGCAAAUUGCACAAAUUUCCAAGUGUUCUUGGAAAUUCUCCUUCAAUGUUCGAAUUCUUGGACAAAUCAAGUAGUUGGAGAGAAGUGAAGUUCUGGAAUGCAUCUGGAAGUCCACCUUAGAGGUUGUUGGAGUUGAGAUUGACAGAAGUUGUGGAAUAAAGGCUGAAAAUUUCUUAUUAUUUUUCAGAAUGUGAAACACGUACAACUUAUAUAGGAAGAGAGGUGGAUAUUUACAUAAAGAGUCCUACUCCAAGUUUAACUAAAAGGAUAAACAUUCCUAUUCCUAGUUUAACUAAAAGGAUAAACAUUACAACUGAUAAACGUUUACAACAGAUAGAUAUUAUCACUUAACAUAUGGGCAUUAUCACUUAGUGGCUAAGCAUUAUCUUUUCUGUUAGAGAUCAAGGUACACAAGGCUACUGAGAUUAAAUAACCAGUGAGGAAUGGUGGAGUCAAACCCUUGAGAGAUCAAGAAGGGAAAGAGAAGUAAAAUUGAGAAAUGGAAGAGAAAGGGACAAGUUGGAAAGUUGACAGUUGGGCAAGUGCAACUCCAAAAGAGAAGGCAAAGUAUCUAGAGCCAGUAGGCUGCAGCCUUGCUGAGAUCAAAGAAGAAAGGCCUGACAGCCAUUCUUGUUUGGUUUGAUAGUGUGUGUUGAGAUCAAGGUAGUGCAAGUUUGAGAGGUUUGCAAUAUAUGGAGGGAUCAUACUACCAAAGGAUGCUCCAGAGAGAUUGAGAUAUCUCAACUUCCCAAGUGAUCCAAUGAAUUUUGGAAUUUCCAUUCCUUCAAAAUUAUUCAUGCUGAGGUCUAGAUAAUUCAGAUAUUUCAAAUGGAGCAAAGAAGGAUUGAUCUCACCACCCAACUCGCUAACUGUUCCAUCGCCCUCCAAACUGUUUGGGAAUGGGUUGCCAAGUUUGAGCUUGAUGAUGCUUCCAGUCCUGUUAUAGCAGCUAACUCCUCUCCAUUUACUAUAAUCUUCUCUGACCCAAGAUGACAGCCGACCUCAAGAAUCCGUGAGGCCUUGUUUGAAUUUGAGAAGUGCUUCCUUCUCAACUUCUAGGCAAUCCAUGUUCUGAUUGGCAUCGCAUGAGCUGAGUUUAAUUGUUCCUUGGGACAAAUAGUAGGAGUGAAAGAAAUUGAGUAAUGACAUUGCACAUGAUCAUGUUAUGAUCAAAGUGUAAGAGGAAGAGAGUUUCUCUUCUAUCCAACAGAAGGCUGAAUUAGUCUACUUACAGAACAAAUUAGGUGCUUGAGGGGAAGAUUUAGUUGGUUGAUGUGGUUAGGACAUUUGACCCCACAUGUUGAUAUUGAAAUGCUUUGCCCUUUUUGAGACGCUAGAAUGUGAACAUUUUUUUAUAGGUUAUGAUGUGAACAUUAGAAACUCUAUUAGGAAGUGUGACAAUACCUUGUUCCAAAAGGAGGAAGAACUUUGUGAUAUCCUCACCAGCUACUAUUCUACCGAACUUGAGAACUCUGUUCCCAUUUGACAUUAUCCUGACUGCUAUAGCCUAAAUUUUUACUCAGUGAUAGUGUUAGCUUCUCUAUACGCAUUAUGACUUGUGAUCUUGUCAACUGACAAACUACGACAGCCAGACUCCUGGCGGGGGUUGUUAGAGCCACAAUAGUAAAACUUAAUGGAGUAGGGAAUCUGAGCUGUUGAAGCGUUCCUGUCCUUAAUGAAAAUGUCUUGCCUUCUUUGUUUUGUAGUGUGGCCUCUUUGACACGCUAAUGUAACACUUGCUUUAAUAGGUCCAGAUGUGGACAUCAAAACUUUACUAGAACGUGUGACAAUGCCAAAGAUUUGGGGUAAUUGCAUUUGUUCUUAUAUAUAGAGCUUCACGGUAUACUACUUCAGCAACUCGCAUAGAAACAUGGCUACUACCAAUGCCUGUCUUCAACUUCUUUUUCUUGUCAUUAUGUCCUCGGGGUUUCUUUUCCAUGAAACCCUUAAACCAGGCUGCUGCCAUGGUGAUCACCAUAGGGCAGCCUCCAUUGACACUGAGAGGGUAGCUCUUCUCAAGUUCAAACAAGGCCUUACAGAUCCUUCUCAUCGACUCUCAUCUUGGGUAGGGGAAGACUGCUGCAAGUGGAGAGGCGUCGUCUGCAACAACAGGAGUGGACAUGUCAUCAAACUCAAUCUGCGUAGUCUUGAUGAUGAUGGAACAGAUGGCAAGUUGGGCGGUGAGAUAAGUCUUUCUUUGCUUGAUUUGAAAUAUCUGAAUCACUUAGACCUGAGCAUGAAUAAUUUUGAAGGGACUCGAAUCCCAAAGUUCAUUGGUUCACUGGAAAGGUUGAGAUAUCUCAAUCUCUCCUGUGCCUCCUUCAGUGGACCAAUUCCUCCACAACUUGGAAAUCUUUCCAGGUUAAUCUACCUUGACCUCAAGGAAUACUUUGAUUUCAACAGAUACCCUGAUGAGUCCAGCCAGAAUAAUCUUCAGUGGAUAUCUGGUCUUUCUUCUUUAAGACACCUUAAUUUAGAAGGAGUCAAUCUAAGUAGAGCUUCUGCUUAUUGGCUUCAUGCUGUUAGCAAGCUUCCUUCUCUUUCAGAGUUGCAUCUAUCUAGUUGUGGACUUUCUGUCCUCCCUCGUUCUCUCCCAUCUUCCAAUCUUACAUCCCUUUCAAUACUUGUUCUCUCCAACAAUGGUUUCAACUCCACAAUACCCCACUGGCUAUUCCAGCUGAGGAAUCUUGUGUACCUUGAUCUCAGCUUUAACAAUCUUCGAGGCUCAAUUUUAGAUGCAUUUGCAAACAGGACUUGUCUUGAAAGUUUAAGAAAGAUGGGUAGCCUCUGCAACUUGAAAACACUGAUCCUUUCUGAGAACGAUUUGAAUGGGGAAAUAACUGAAAUGAUAGAUGUUUUAUCUGGGUGCAACAAGUGUAGUUUAGAGAACCUGAAUCUGGGAUUGAAUGAACUGGGUGGUUUUCUUCCUUAUUCACUAGGAAACCUGUCCAACUUGCAGUCUGUUCUGCUUUGGGACAACUCGUUUGUAGGCUCAAUUCCGAAUUCAAUAGGAAACUUGUUGAAUUUGGAAGAGCUGUACCUCUCUAAUAAUCAAAUGAGUGGGACCAUUCCAGAAACACUUGGACAACUUAAUAAGUUGGUUGCGUUAGAUAUCUCUGAGAAUCCAUGGGAAGGUAUUCUAACAGAAGCCCAUUUGUCAAAUCUCAUAAACUUAAAGGAGUUGUCCAUCGCUAAAUUUUCGUUACUUCCAGACCUAACAUUGGUUAUCAAUAUCAGUUCUGAGUGGAUCCCCCCUUUUAAGCUCCAAUACCUUAAUCUGAGAUCAUGCCAAGUGGGUCCUAAAUUUCCAGUUUGGCUCAGAAACCAAAAUGAGCUUAACACUCUAAUACUCAGGAAUGCUCGAAUUUCAGACACCAUACCAGAGUGGUUUUGGAAGUUAGACUUGGAAUUGGAUCAACUGGACUUGGGCUAUAAUCAAUUAAGUGGCAGAACUCCAAACUCAUUAAAGUUCACUCUUCAAUCCUCGGUUUGUUUGAUCUGGAACCAUUUCAAUGGUUCUCUGCCCCUUUGGUCAUCAAAUGUGAGUAGCCUACUUUUGAGAAAUAAUUCAUUUUCUGGACCAAUCCCUCGGGAUAUCGGGGAAAGAAUGCCCAUGCUGACAGAGUUAGAUCUCUCUCAUAACUCUCUAAGUGGAACCCUUCCCGAGUCCAUUGGGGAACUAACUGGUUUAGUGACUCUGGAAAUGUCAAACAAUAGUUUGACUGGAGAAAUCCCUGCAUUGUGGAAUGGUGUUCCCAAUUUGGUGGCGCGUGUAGACCUGUCAAACAACAACUUAUCUGGUGAGCUGCCAACUUCUGUGGGUUCUCUGUCCUACCUUAUCUUUUUAAUGCUCAGCAACAAUCAUCUUUCUGGGGAACUUCCUUCUGCCUUGAAGAAUUGCACAAACAUCCGUACUCUUGAUCUCGGAGGCAACAGAUUUUCAGGAAAUAUUCCGGCAUGGAUUGGACAAACAAUGCCAAGUCUUUGGAUUCUACGACUACGAUCAAAUUUGUUUGAUGGGAGCAUUCCGUUACAACUUUGCACUCUUUCCUCUCUUCACAUAUUGGAUCUUGCACAAAAUAAUCUGUCAGGAUCUAUUCCCUCUUGCGUUGGGAAUUUGAGUGCUAUGGCAUCUGAAAUUGAAACAUACAGAUAUGAGGCCGAAUUGACGGUGUUGACAAAAGGAAGGGAAGAUUCAUAUAGAAACAUUCUCUAUCUUGUGAAUAGCAUCGACCUGUCUAACAAUGGCCUAUCUGGAGAUGUGCCCGGAGGGCUAACAGAUCUUUCAAGAUUAGGCACCUUGAACUUGUCUAUGAACCAUUUGACAGGAAAAAUACCAGACAACAUUGGGGACUUACAAUUGUUGGAAACUCUAGACCUCUCAAGAAAUCAGCUUUCCGGUCCAAUUCCACCAGGUAUGGCUUCUUUGACUCUCAUGAAUCACUUGAACCUGUCGUAUAACAACCUGUCAGGUAGAAUUCCAUCAGGCAACCAGCUGCAAACCCUGGAUGAUCCAUCAAUAUACUGGGACAACCCUGCACUAUGUGGGCGUCCAAUAACCGCUAAGUGUCCUGGUGAUGAUGAUGGAACCCCCAAUCGUCCCAGUGGAGAUGAUGAAGAUGACGAUGAAGAUGGAGCUGAGGCUGAAAUGAAGUGGUUCUACAUGAGCAUGGGAACAGGAUUUGUGGUGGGGUUUUGGGGAGUUUGUGGCACCUUAGUAGUGAAGGAGUCAUGGAGGCAUGCCUAUUUUAGGCUUGUGAAUGACAUCAAAGAGUGGCUGCUUCUAGUUAUUCAGCUGAAUGUAGCCCGUCUCCAAAGGAAACUGAAGUUGGGAAGAAGCCAGCAUCAUACUUGAACAACCUUCUGAAAUGAAUGAAUGCUUUGAUGUAGCCUAGCAGUUCAGCUUUGUGUGCAACCUUCUGACAUUAAGUUCCAGAAAUAAAUGAAUGCUUCUAUAUAGUUUAGCACUUCAGCUUCAUGUACAACGUUCUGAAAUAUGAAGUUUUCCUUCCAAGUUUUUUUAAUCCGCUUUGUCUCUUAUUUUUCUAUCUUUUGGUCACAAAUUCACACAAACACUUACAUAUAUACUCGGAGACUUGCCAAAAAUAAAUAAAUGAGUUAAUAAACAACGAAGGCCAUCUCCGAUUCCCAGCAUCUCUCAGCAUUGCUUUGUGUCCUAUCAUCUUUUCAACACAACUCUUCACAGGGAAGCAGAUUAUAUUUCAUAAUUAAAUUAAGGGUCUUAACAAUUUCUAAUCUUCAUUAAAUUUUUUAAAUUCAAUUUAAUUUGACUUUAAGUAUGAUUACUACUUUCAAAAAAUUUAAAUUUUAUAAAAAAAAAUCUAUAUUAAAAAUUCUAAUAAUAUUUUUUAAUUUUUUUAGAAAAAAUUAUCUUGAAUUCCUUUAAUAUAUUUAUUUUAAAAUUUUAAAACUAAUUUUAUUAAAAUAUGUUUUAUUAUAUUUUAAUUAAAAACAUUAAAUCAUUUCUUAGAUUUAUAUAAAAUAUUUUAUUUAAGAUUUAAUUUCUAUUAUUUUAUUAAAAAUUUGUGGUGAUAAUUAUAUGUUAUUACAACCAAUUUAUCUAAAUAAAUAAAAUUAUAUUAAUAAUUUAUCUUAUCAAAUUAAUUUAAAUUUAAAAUUAUAUUUUAUAAAAUAUUUAAAUGACAUUAAUUUUUUAUUUAUGUUUAAGUAAUUUUUUAAAUAGAUUUAUAUUUUAAAUAUUUUAAAACAAAAACAUUCAAAAUUAAAUAAAAUUAAAAGGAUAAAUAUAAAAGAAAAAAAAUUUAAAGUGAAGUGAUAGAAAUUUUUUGAAGUAGGGUUAAUGUGAUAAAUAUAAAAAACAAUUAAAAAUAAAAAGAUAAUAUAAAUUUAAAAUAAACAAUAAAUUAAAAAAAAAAAUGCCCACUGUCUGGGCAUUAUUUAAAUGAAGUAUCCAAAAUUUUAAUCAAUGAUUUAAGCUCUGCCCUUAGAUUAAAUAUUUAAUUCAGAUGAGGUUGGUUUAAAAACACACAAGCCUGAUCUUGGUUAUUGGAUAAAAAAAUUUUUUGGCAAAAAAUCAUCAUUUUUCAAGGAAAUUUUGGAAUAAAUUUAAAGUACACAAAAAAUUUAAAAAAAAUUGCCGACUCUCCAGGCAUUUAAAUUAUUUAAUUGAAGUAUCCAAAAUUUUAAUCCAUGAUUUAAGCUUCUCUCUUAGAUCAGACAUUUAAUUCAGAUGAGGCUUAAAAACACACAAGCCUGAUCUGGUCAUUGGAUCAAGUUGGAGGAAAAGAAGCAUGUAAAUAUGUCACAAAAUUUUGGGGAAAAAAUCGUUAUUUUUCAAGUUGGAGGAAAAGAAGCCUGUAGAUAUGUCACAAAUUUCUGGGGAAAAAAUCGUUAUUUUUCAAAGAAAUUUUGGAAUACAUUUAAAAUAAAUGAUAAAUUAAAAAAAAUAAAAAUUGCUCACUCUCUAGGCAUUAUUUAAACGAAGUAUCCAAAAUUUUAAUCCAUGAUUUAAGUUUGGGCCUUAGAUCAAACAUUUAGAUGAGGUUUAAAAACACACAAGCUUGGUCCUGGUCAUUGGAUCAAGAAUCUUUCAUUUCAACCCUUAAUUGGAGGAAAAGAAGCAUGUAGAUAUGUCACGGAUUUUUUUUUAGCAAAAAAUUGUCAUUUUUCAAAGAAAUUUUGGAGAUUUUUUGCUUCAUCCGCUUCAGUGAUUACUUCGAUCCAAGUCAAUAAAUUGGCAAUUCAAAAUUUCUCAUUUCCAUGCCAUUUUUUUGCUUCGACUGUCGUUAAUAUUCAUAUUUUGUUGAAAUGUCGGCAAAAUUUCAAACCUUGGUUGGGGUUAAAGCUUGCAUGACAAGUGGUAUCUAAGCUUAGCUCAACAUACAAGGGCUUUAUGUUUGUAUGGCAAUUUCUUUUCUGGCCCCAAUUCCUCUGGAGUUCGGUGAAAGAAUGCCCAUGCAUUCUUGGUAUUGCCAUGGGCUUCUAUACAAAAAUUGACCAAGGGCUUUAUGCUGUUCUUGGAGCAGCCUCCCUGAUGGCUGGUUCAAUGAGGAUGACUGUUUCCCUCUGUGUCAUAUUCCUUGAACUCACAAACAACCUCCUCUUACUACCCAUAACAAUGAUUGUGCUUCUAAUAGCCAAAAGUGUUGGUGAUUGCAUCAACCCAAGCAUUUAUGAGAUAAUACUGCAUCUCAAAGGCCUGCCUUUCUUGGAUGCGAAUCCUGAGCCAUGGAUGAGAAAUUUAAUUGUUGGGGAGCAUGCAUCAUGCCAAGCCACAAGUAGUUACCCCAUAGUGGAGUGGAAAAGCUAGCCCGCAUUGUCGAUGUCCUGAGAAACACCACGUGCAAUGGUUUCCCAGUUGUAGAUGAAGGGGGUGGAACCAUCUGUCGGUCUGGCCAUAGGGGCAACUGAACUGCAUGGAAUUUGGCCAAGAGCACACCUUGUUAAAGUGCUGAAGAAGAGGUUCCUGCGAGAGAGAAGGAGAACAGAGGAGUGGGAAGUGAGAGAGAAAUUUACCCAGCUAAAUCUUUUCUUUCUUUUUGGUUGCAUACAAUGAUAACAAUGGUCAUUCUUCAUUGGAAACUAUGCCAUAGGUUCAGUGCCUUCAAAUAUGCAAGGUCAUAUAGUACUAGAUGUUCUUAAUAACUACAGAAUGAUGCCAUUGUUCAUUCAAGAUGAUACUCCCAGCUACAAGAUGCAUCAUAUGUCUUCUAAAAAGAAAAGAAAGAAGGAAGAAUGUAUUACCUCUGGGUUCCAGGAAAAAAAUUAAAACCAUGGGCUUUAUCCAAAUGCCAUUCCUUACAGGACAACAAUGACUUACAAUCCUGUUUAAUAAUUUCUGUAUUAGAAGCUUGAGACAAUAAUUCAUGUUUUCUAAUUUGCCAAAAAUCAAAGUAGAGUCAGAUCUAAUUGCAAGGUAAUUCUAAGAAGACAACAUAGAAACUUAAGAUCCAGAAAUACCUCUUUGAAGCUUUCUCAUCCACAAAUAAUAUAGAUGAGAGUUUUAGGCAGUGACUGACCCUCUUCUGGAGAUGUUUUGCUUUCAAUCUGAACCGAGGCUUCCUUUGCACGUAAAAUCCAUGGUCCGUUUUCGUUCUUGACCUUUGAAAAAGACCUGAAAAAAGAAUGAAUUACUUAAAUCUUAAAGCUUUAGAGUUGCUGUUUCAUGCAUUUCAGUCACAUGGAAAUUACAGAAGCACCCAUACCUUUCAGUUGAUAUAGCUCCGUAGUGCAUCAACCAGAGAUGGAUCCAGCCCCUUUCUAGGAGGGUCAACAACAACUACACCUGAUCCCACUAGCCAAGAAAGAGGUCCCUGUUCCAGUUCAAUGAAUGAAACUCUUAUUGUAGGCUGAAAUAUUUACAAGAGUGAGAAGUCAAAAUUUAAUUUUCAAUAAUAUUGCCAGCUUAUCUGACUUUAGUCACUAGUAAUGUAAAAGAAUAAAAAAGUAGGAGAUAUCCGUAUGUAUGAGCUCCAGAGGAAAAUUCAGAGGGCUAUUUGUGUUUUUGUUUGUAUGUAUGAGUGUAAAUGUUUGAGGUUUUGAACACUAACAAUUGAAGUGUCUGCAUGAUGCCAUCUGAUGGUACCAUCUAUAGACUUUGGUAAGCCGCCAACUGUCUUCUCAAAAGAUAGCUUUGCCUCUUUGUCAAUCUCAAUGCAUUUAACAGACCUGGAAAACAAGGAUAAUUAACUUGGAAUUAAUAUAUCUUCUAGUUGGACAUAAGAAUGAGACUUCCAGACAACUUGAGCCAUCUGAGUUCUUGCCUGCAUUUUCUGGUGGUAGCUAAUGAUAAUCCAAUGACACCAGCUCUGGCACACAAAUCAGCAACUCUUCCCCAUAUGGGUCAUACUUUUGUAACUUACGAAGCAAUGAAUCAAAAGCCUGAACAGAAGCAGCAGACCAGCAACAUACAAGUAGGAUUUCUCUCAAGGAACAUAAGAUAGAAUCAGACAUCUUAUGUUAGUGAGCCGCAGCUGUGUCCUAUGUGAUGCAGGAACACAAAAAGGAACGCCGAACUUAGGUGCGCAAACAAGAGGCAAAUAAAACCGGAGGCUCCAGGCCCAGCAAUUCCAUCAAUUAAUUGUAUCAAAAAGGGAAUUGUACAUUCUCAAGGACUUGAUGUCCCUCACAUCAUGAAAUGAAUUAUAAUUUAAUGAUGAUUGAUAAAUAAGAUGGAAUAAAGACGUUCCUAUCAAAGGUGUACCAGUCUACAGCUAUCAAAGGUGAAAUCUGAAACGCCGCGGUUGUGGAAGAAGUCGUGACGCCGUCAAGAAUGAUCGGACGGUGGAGGUUGACCUCUUGAGCACCUGCAAAAACAAGCAUUGGAAAGCAAUUUGUACGAGUAAGUGGAGAAACAGAGAGAAGGGGGUGCGCACGAUUGGAAGUGUUGGCAUUGUAGGGCAUGUUAGGGAAGGACGUGGAGAUAGGUUUAGGGUUAGGGAUUGGUGGAAAGGACCAUAAACAUCCUUGAUUUUAAAAUUUCUAUCACUAUCACGUAAUAUUGAGUUUGGUGGAAAGGACCAAAUGAUUGAAGUUUCUCUCAGCCUUUUAUGUUUCUGCGCGCCUUGGGUUAUGUGGCCUUUUUAUCAGCCAUCAUAUCCUCAUAUUAUAUGUCUCUAUGAAUAGAAUUCAGGUUCUGCUGCAAGGUGACGCUUCUGGAGAUCGCGACUCAUGUCCACCAAGCGUGUUCAAACAUCAAAUAUAGCUGUGGAGGCAGGGUGGAGGUCAGGUCUGGAUGUUUGGGGCCUAUAAACCGAGUCUCUGCUUGGAAUUGAAAUAAUUAUUUUCGGAGUUAUAUAUUCUUGGGAGAUAUAUUCCUAUUCCUUCUCUUCUGCCAAGUAAAUGAGGCCUAGGACUCUGCCAGUAUUGAAGCUUAAACUGUAAAAUAGGUUUGGCUGAUUAUUCGUGCUGCUAACACAAUAUUUAAAAGCAAUCAAGAUCAUAAGAAAUAAUUCCCAAACAUAAAUUUGUUUGUGUAAAUGGCAGGUUUACAAUUGAUGAGAAAUGAUGUUUUCAACAAGUAUCUUUUCAUCUUAAAGCAUGUUCCCCGAUUUUCUUCAGCUGCAGUUUUUUUCAAACACCUACACCUUUCUUGUCAGACGGGCAACAUUCAGUGCCACAGCCAGAAGGAGCCUAUCUUUCAUUUUCUCGACAAAACGAAAAUAAGCAUACCGCCAUGAUGUCUUGAUUAUCAAAGUGCCACAAACUCCCCAGAAUCCUAUGAUGAAUCCCAGUCCCAUGCUAACAAAGAACCAUGGCAAUUCAGAGUCAUCUCCAUCUUCAUCAUCAUUGUCUUCUCCUUUCCCAGUUGGAAUUGUUCCAUUGUUAUCAUGGCACUCUGUCGUUAGAGGAAAUCCACAAAGUGCGAGGUUGCCCUGGUAAAUAGACGGAUCAAUCAAGGUUUGAAACUGGUUGCCUGUUGGGAUUUUCCCUGACAAGUUAUUGUGUGCCAGAUUCAGGUGAACCAAAAAGGUUAUGGAAGCCAUGCUCAUUGGAAUUGGACCAGAAAGUUUGUUUUUUGAUAGGUCGAGAGUCUCCAACCACUGCAAGUUUCCAAUCUUUUCUGGUAUAUUUCCCCCCAAAUUAUUGCUGGACAAAUUCAAGGUUCCCAGUUUCAGAAGGCUUGUUAGUUCUAUUGGAAUCUCUCCUGAUAAGCUAUUAUUGGACAGAUCCAGACUAUUCACAAGGUAGAGAGUGCUAUAGUAUUCCAGUGCUCUUCCUUUUGCAACAAGUUUCAAGCGUCCCUCAUACCGUUCUAGAUCAUCAUCAGAAAGUUCAGAUUUGAAGCCACUCAAGUUCCCAAAACAGGGAGGAAUGAAUCCUGACACAUGGUUGUGUGAGAGGUCCAGUAUGUGAAGCGCGGAAAGGGCACAGAUUUCUGAAGGAAUAUUACCGCUGAAGAAGUUGGACUGCAAGGCUAAGAUCAACAGGGAUGGCAUGCUUUCUCCUAUCCAGGAUGGAAUGUUUCCAGAAAAUUUGUUAUCACCAAGAUCAAGGCUUUCCAAGACACUGCAGUUUUGCAGCUGGGAAGGAAGUUCACCAGAGAGAUUGUUGUUGGAUAGCACCAAGAAUCUGAGUGCCGUGAGGGAACCCAGUGAUCUUGGUAUUGUACCUGAGAGGCUGUUGUUUGACAUAUCUACAAUAUACAGGGAAGGCAUCUUGUUCCAGAACUGAGGAAUUUCUCCAGAUAAAUUAUUAUUGGAGAUAACCAAGGUGAUCAAAGCCUGUAGAUCACCCAUAGACAAGGGAAUGCUGCCAUUCAGAGAGUUCCAAGAGAUAUCUAAAUCUGUCAAAAUGGGCAUUACUUGACCGAUGUUCUGAGGAAUUGGUCCAGAAAAUAGAUUUCCCCUCAGAUACAGUGUACUUACAUUAGACGACCAGAGUGGGAGAGGACCAUCAAAGAGGUUUGAACUCAAAUCAACAUUGGCUAGGUAGCUGAACACUAAUGAGUUUGGAACUCUGCCACUUAACUGAUUAUAAGCAAUGUCUAGUUCACUGAGCUGCAAAUCUAAUUUCCAUAACCAAUCUGGUAUAGUACCUGAAAUUCCUGCAUUAUUCAGCACUAUGGUGGUCAACUCAUUUUGAGUUCUGAGCCAGGUAGGAAAUUUGGGACCCAAUUGGCAAGAUCUAAGGUUGAUGUAUGUGAGUUUGAAAGGAGGAGCCCAGUCAGAGGAGAUGUUGAAAACCAAAGAAACAUUUGGAGAACUUUUAGUAAUAGACAACUGCUUUAAGCUUGAGAGGUUGGCAAAAUGAGCUUCUGUUAUGACACCUUCCCAUGAGUUCUCAUUGAGCUCUAGCACGACCAGUGAUGAGAGUUGUCCAAGGCUGUCUGGGAUGAUCCCACCCAUUUGAUUCUGCGAGAGGUACAAUUCCUGUAAAGAGGAUAAGCUCCCAAUUGAUUCUGGAAUUGAACCGCGAAAUGAAUUAGACCAUAAUUGAAGAUAUCUUAAAUUCUUAAGAUGCCCCAACGAAUCUGGCAGGUUUCCAGUCAGUUUAUUGAAUCCCAAAUCCAGAUUCUCUAAGGUGCUGUAAGAGCAUGCAGAUAAGCCAUCGAGGAACUCAGCUAUCUCACCAGAAAGUUUGUUAACAGAAAGAAUCAAUGUCCGCAAAUAGCACAAAUUUCCCAGUGUUCUCGGUAACUCACCUUCAAUGUUGGAAUUCUUGGACAAAUCAAGUAGCUGGAGAGAAGUGAAGUUCUGGAAUGCAUCUGGUAGUCCACCUUGGAGGUUGUUGGAGUUGAGAUCAAGGUACACAAGGCUACUGAGAUUAAAUAACCAGUGAGGAAUGGUGGAGUCAAACCCAUUGUUUGAGAGAUCAAGAAUGGAAAGAGAGGUAAAAUUGAGAAAUGGAAGAGAAAGAGAAAGGUUGGAAAGUUGACAGUUGGGCAUGUGCAACUCCAAAAGAGACGGUAAAGUAUUAACGGUCUGGAGCCAGUAGGCUGCAGCCUUGCUGAGAUCAAUACCUCCCAAGUUAAGGUACUUCAAAGAAGAAAGGCCUGACAGCCAUUCCAGGCCAUUCUUGUUUGGUUCGAUAGAGUAUGUGUUGAGAUCAAGGUAGCGCAAGUUUGAGAGGUUUGCAAUAUUUGGAGGGAUGAUACCACCAAAGGAUGCUCCAGAGAGAUUGAGAUAUCUCAACUUCCUAAGCGAUCCAAUGAAUUUUGGAAUUUCCAUUCCUUCAAAAUUAUUCUUGCUGAGGUCUAGAUAAUUCAGAUAUUUCAAGCUGAGCAAAGAAGGAUUGAUCUCACCGCCCAACUCACUAGCUGUUCUAUCGCCCUCCAAACUGUUUGGGAAUGGGUUGCCAAGUUUGAGCUUGAUGACGCGUCCAGUCCUGUUAUAGCAGCUAACUCCUCUCCAUUUACAACAAUCUUCUCCGACCCAAGAUGACAGCCGACCUGAAGGAUCUGUGAGGCCUUGUUUGAACUUAAGAAGUCCUUCCUUCUCAACUUCUAGGCAAUUCAUGUUCUGAUUGGCAUCACAUGACCUGAGUUUAAUUGUUCCUUGGGACAAAAACCCAGAUAGUAGAAGGAGUGAAAGAAAUUGAGUAAUGACAUUGCACAUGAUUAUGUUAUGAUCAAAGUGUAAGAGGGAGAGUUUCUCUUCCAUCCAACAGAAUGCUGAAUUAGUCCACUUAUAGAACAAAUUAGGUGCCUGAGGGGAAGAUUUGGUUGGUUGAUGUGGUUAGGACUUUUGACAACCACAUGGUGGCUGCUAGAAGUCAAUAUGGAAAUGCUUUGCCUUUUUGAGAUGCUAGAAUGUGAACAUUUUUUUAUAGGUUACGAUGUGAACAUUAGAAACUGUACGAGGAAGUGUGAUACGCAUUACCUCUUUCCAAAAGGAGGAAGAAUUUUCUGAUAUCCUCACCAGCUACUAUUCUGCCGAACUUGAGAACUCCAUUCCUAUUUGACAUUAUCCUGACUGCUAUAGCCUAAAUUUGUUUCUCAGUGGUAAUGUUAGCUUCUCUAUACACAUGAUCUUGUCAAAUGACAAACUACGAUAGCCGACUCCUGGUGGGGUUUGUUAGCAGCCACAAUAGUAAAAUUGAAUGGAGUAGGGAAUUUGAGCUGUUGAAGGGUUCCCGUCCUUAAUGAAAAUGUCUUUGUCUUCUUUGUUUUGUUGUAUGGCCUCUUUGACACGCGAAAGUCUGAACACGGGUGCUUUAAUAGGUUUAGAUGUGGACAUCAAAACUUUAAUAGAAUGUGUAACAAUGUCAUGUUCUAAGAGGAAGAAAGUUUUAGACUUUAGGCAUCUGGAGCUGCCGGCCUUGGUUUAGGAACAUUUGCUGAAGUCUUGCUCCUAUUUUGGUUUAGGAAAAAACACAUAAGUUUAAUAAUUCAAAUAAAAUUAAAUAUGUCGUGAUAAAACAUCCCUUUCAUAUCUUCAUUUGCUAUUCUAAACGAGUGACUUAUUUUACCCUAUAUUCCCAUUUAACACAAUUCUUACAAUCAUAGCCAAAAUUUGCUAUAGAAUCAAAGAGAAAUGUGCUUGUCAAAGAGUUAUUAAUUUCAUAAAUAUUUUGCAUGUCAUUAUAAUUAUUUAUUGAGGACCCUAUAUUUUCAUUAGUAGGAACAUUUCUAAAUCACUUUCAAUCUUCAUUUGCCCUUCUCUUGGCUAUCAAAGACCAUCUCUCAAAUUGAUACUCUUUGUAGAUGCAUUACCCAUUUGUCUUGAACUAGCUAUGCCCUCGAAAUCAAAACUAGUAUAACUCAAAAAAAUUAUUUUUAUUUAUUUUUAAUAAAAUAAAGCAAUUAUACUCUUAUAAGGAUUUUAAUAUCCAAAUUUUAUUAAAAUUAUUUAAUUUUUUAUUAAAAAAAUAUUUUUAUUUGAAUUAAGUUCAUUUUCUACUAUAUAAGUUUAUUUUACAUUUUUUUUCUUUUUAUAGAAUCAAAAUAAAAAAUUAUUUUGACUUUAAUUACAAAAUCCAACGGAGGAGGUGCUGAGAUCAAGGUAGCGCAAGUUUGAAAGGUUUGCAAUAUUUGGAGGGAUCAUACCACAAAAGCAUACUCCAGAGAGAUUGAGUUGAUUCAAUGAAUUUUGGAAUUCCCACUCCUCCGAAAUUAUUCAUGCAGAGAUCUAGAUGAUUCAGAUAUUUCAAAUGGGGAAUUGUAAUAGGCUUUUUGGCAUUGUGGGGAUUGAGGAUAAGAUGGACCGAAACCAUUUCCAAGAGCGUACAGUUGAAAUUCCUGUGGCUGUCCUGACUGGAAAGUUUGUGCGCUCUUCCACAUCCUAAGGCAUAAACGUGACAAGUUUAGUCAUGUAGGGAUUGUGUCAUCAAAUUUUCUCCUCUUCCACAAGACCAUAUGAACCAACUAGAGAAGCCUACUAGAACGUGGACCCAAAAAGAGGUCAUGUCUUGUAUUAAAAGUAAAUUAGACUUGUUGGGUAAAGCUUCUAGCGUACCAAACACCGGUAGACCCAUUCAUUGACCUCAAGUCUUCCAUCCACACUUAUUAAGAACCUGAAUUUCUACGCAUAGCCUCGGAUCGCCAACGGUUUAGGCCUAAGAUGGGUAGCUUCUGUCAGCCUAUGUCCAAGUUGGUUUUCAGAGUCCGAGUCCUCAUUUGGGUGCUGAAAAGAGAUGCUCUUGUGGACAUCAUUUCAAGCUCGGUUAGAAGAGAGGGUUGCUUGAUGAAGAGUAAUCUUCAAAUCUAUAUGUUAUUUUGAAAAGUAAUUAUCUAAUUUAAUUGGUGGUUUGUUGAUAAUACAAAAUUUCAUCACAUUUUUUUAGGCGUAUGUCAAUAUUAAUAUUCUAAGUGAUGAGUAAAUGUCAAAUAAUUAGAAUAUUUAUUCUCAUUUUCCGUUUCCAAGUGAUCUCUUCUUGGUGAGGAUCUUUGAAAAAGGAUAUUUAAAAAAAUUAGUUUAAAAUCUAUGAAAACUUGUGAAGGGUCAAGUUGGCACAAGGCUUAAGUCACCUUUGUCCACUGCAAAGAGUAGCUGGCUUUCCCUAACCCUUUUCCAAUACAAUAUCAUAGGUAUGUGUGGAUCCCGCAGUUCGGCUCAAUGCGUUUUCCACUCGAUGGCGAACUCGAUUUUUAUUUUGAAAAGUUGAUUUUAUUUGAUUAUGAAAACUGACUCGGAGUCACCACUUAUUUUUGUUUUAUUUUUAAAAGGGUAAACAAAAUAAGAAAGAAACCCUAAGUGUGACUCCUUAUUUUGGAAAAGGUGAUCUGUAAAAAACCGGAUUGGGCUCGAGGGUCAGGUUAUUUAUCAGGAAGGUACGGUUAUGAACAGUAGCACCCCUCUAAGUCCCUAAAGUCGGGUCUCUAUUAAUACAAUGAAACUGACGUGGCAACCAACGAGAAAGUCAAUGGAAAUUCACCUAAAUCAUGCACAAUAUGAGAAUCAAAACACGCAAUAGGAAUUGACUAGAAUGGGAGUGGAUGCGUACCUCGGCCACGAGCCACAAUGCGCUAUCAAGAAACGGGAUUAGUACACAAUUAAUGAGUACAAAAUAUAGUUCAUGCAUAUCGGAGUGCAAAAUGAAGAUCAAGCAAAAUACAUUAAGUACAACAGUUGACGAUCAAAAGGGAUCAAACAUAGGGCCCUCAUCAAAGCCCAAUUUAUUGUUCAUGAACUAGUCCCCCAAAUUUCGUGUUUUAGAAUUAUGAAGAAUUCAUUAUUACUUAUGUAAAAAUCAAAAGAAAUAGAACAUUAUUUAAAAAUCAGAGUGAAAUUAAAGCUAUUCGAGAUAAAACUGGAUUUUUGGAGAUUUAUUUGGAAAUUAGAGUCUCGAAAAUUAUUUGAAGAUUGGAGUCUUGAAAAAUUAAAUUUAAGAAUUGGAAUUUUGGAUAUUAAAUUUGAAAGAAAUUAGACUUUUGGAAAUCGGAAAUUAAGUUCAGAAAUUGGAAUUUGGAAGAAUUGUUUAAAAUGGAAUUUCAAAAUAAAUACCUAAAAUAAUAAUAAUUAAAUAGAUUAAUGUGAAUUUUGGAAUUUUGGAAUUAGAAAUUAAAUCGGGAGUCGGAAAUUUUAAUGAAUUGUUUAAAAUGAAAUUUUAGAAUAAAUAAAUAAAAUAAUAAUAAUUAAAUAGAUUAAUGUGAAUGUUGGAAUUUUGGAAUUAGCGGAAGUGGAAAUUUUAAUGAAUUGUUUAAAAUGGAAUUUUAGAAUAAAUAAAUAAAAUAAUAAUAAUAAAUUAAUGUGAAUAUUGGAAUUUUCAGAAAUAGAAAUUUAAUUCGAAAAUCGAAAGUUUUAAAUGAACUGUUUAAAAUGGAAUUUUAGAAUAAAUAAAUAAAAUAAAAUAAUUAAAUAGAUUAAUGUGAAUAUUGGAAUUUUUGGAAUUAGAAAUUAAAAUCAGAAGUGGAAAUUUUAAUGAAUUGUUUAAAAUGGAAUUUUAGAAUAAAUAAAUAAAAUAAUAAUAAUAAAUUAAUGUGAAUAUUAGAAUUUUCAGAAAUAGAAAUUUAAUUCGGAAAUCGAAAGUUUUAAAUGAAUUGUUUAAAAUGGAAUUUUAGAAUAAAUAAAAAAAUAAUAAUAAUUACAUAGAUUAAUGUAAAUAUUGGAACUUUUAGAAUUAGAAAUUAAAAUUGGAAGUCGGAAAUUUUAAUGAAUUGUUUAAAAUAGAAUUUUAGAAUAAAUAAAUAAAAUAAUAAUAAUUAAAUAGAUUAAUAUGAAUAUUGGAAUUUUUGGAAUUAGAAAUUAAAAUUGGAAGUCAGAAAUUUUAAUGAAUUGUUUAAAAUGGAACGAGAAUAAUGAUUAAAUAAAUAAACGUGAAUUUUGGAAUUUUUGAAAUCGGAAGUUUUAAAGAAUUGAUUAAGAAUGGAGUUUUGAGAUAAAUGAAUGAAAUAUUAGGGAUUAAAUACAUUAAAGUACGUAUGGGAAUUUUCGGGUUUUAAUUCAGAAAUCGAAAGUUUUAAAGAAUAGAUUAAAAAUGGAAUUUUAAAAUAAAUGAAUGAAAUAUUAGUGAUUAAAUAAAUUAAAGUGAGUAUGAGAAUUUUCGGAAUUUAAUUCUAUAAUCAAGAAUUUUAAAGAAUAGAUUAAAAAUGGAGUUUUAGAAUAAAUAAAUAAAAUGACAGAGAUUUAAAUAAAUUAAUAUAAAAUUAGAAUUUCGGAAAUUAAAAAAAAAAACGGAAUUUUGAAGGGUUUUAAAUUUGUCAUGUGAAAUAAAGGGCCAUGCACAGAUGCAUAAACAGGCUUAAGGGCAUUGAGAUUAUGCUAUUGGGCUGGACCCAAAAUGGAAAGGUACUCUUAAAGGUCAUUCAUGGGCUUGAGCUGCAUUAAACAGCUUAGGCCCAACUAAAAAAACCAUCCCCAUGAACGCACUGCUCUCCUCCCCUCUCCUCUCUUUCCCUUCUUUACUCCGCCGGAGGGUCCUCUGCCGUGUCCGCCGUGAACGCCUGGCACGCCACUGACAGGUUCGUCUUCAUCCUUUCCAUCAUCGGCGAGCGACAAGGGCUCACGGCGGCGACGUAGCCCCGUUACCCGCUAUAGCCCUGCACCGCAUGGUCGGAUAUCGUGACCGCCAUGCCGCCGCUGCACUCACCAACGCCAUUGAUUCAGCGGUCCUUGCUUCUAGGCUUAAAUGUCCAUAUCCUAGAAUCGAUCUAUGGACUCAGUGCGGAUGGGAUAAACAAGCUCAACAUAUCCAUCCAUCAUCAAACCCAAACGGGAAUCCGACCAUUUAUAAGAAUAGAGACCAUGAGUGGUAAAGAGAACAAACAAGAGAAAAUCAACAAAAGGAAAACAGAGCAUGCGUAUGCGAGCAGUCAUAUGCAACCUAAACAAUCAUGUGGCCUUAGAUAUCCACAGAAAAAAUUAUCCAAUGGUCCUAAAAGCUAUAUAUAUAUAUAAAAGGAUAGAACCUUCUGAACUGAGAAAACACAAAAGAGAGUCGAAAUCAUACCUGGGCCGAAACUGAUAAGCUUCUCCUUUGCUCCUCUCGAAAACCUCUCUCUGCGAAUGCCCUUAGGUAGAAUUUCUUCCUUCAAACACCACUUUCCUUCUCCAGCCCCGACAUCUCGCUUGCCAUUCCUCUUUUCCUCAAGUUGCUCGUCACUCUCUCGCCACCAUGCUCUCCUCCCCAAGCUCUCUAAAACUCUCCCUGUCCCACCCCGUAACUGCCUCUCUUCUUCUUUUUGCAAAACUCCCUUCUUUCUUCUCCUUGCCACCCACUCUCUACCCCCUGUCUCAAUUCGGCCGCCUCAUUCAGCUGAAAUCCCAGGUAUUCAGAAAAGUAAACAUAAAAAAAAAAAGAAAACAUCGUUCGGGGGGGGGGGGGGGGGGGGUGCUUCCAUGAAACUGUGUCCCGGACCUCUUUAACUUCUCUUAAAAAAUGGAGGCUCUUCACUUGAAGUUGGUUAUAUCAUAUAUGGAAAGUUGAAAAUUAUAUCCCACUUGUAAAAAAAAAAAAAAAAAAAGGCAAAAAGAACGCUCAAGUCUAAAGGGGAUUUCUGAGAAUUUUGGUAGCAGCCUAUACUGAGAUGAGAGGUACUACUUGUCAGUUGUUGCUACUUCAACAUUAUAUAAUAAUAUGCCCACUUGGGCUUUAUGUUGGAAUACUGGAUUAAAAUCUCAGUAGUGACUGAGCAAUUAAUUUUUACCAUUUUUCUAUUGAAGUCCAUUUCCUGAAGAACUUUUAGUGAUUUGCUAAAAGAAAAAAGGAAAAAGACUUCAAGAAAAAGUAGGCUUAGCUUUGAAUAAAUAAAUAAAUAAAAAACACUAGAUAAGUUAUGAUUUUGAUAGUGGAGUUUCCAACUGUUUAGUUGUUGGCAUUCCAGAUUCCAAUCCUUGAAGACUUAGUCUUUGCUGAAGAUUAGCUCAAGUUUGUUAUGACUCUGUUUGUCUUAAAUUUCAAAAAUAGGUGUAACAGCCUAAAUAAAUAUGCAGGAAAGAUAGGAAGAUUUUGUUAUUUUUCUUGUAUAAAUAUCUCAUCUCAAAUGGAAUAAAAUUAUCAGCUUCUAUCUAUCAUAUUUGUAGCCUUUUCUUCAUUAAGUUGUAGUUUUAUACCUGUAAUUUCUCCAACAAGUGGUAUCAGAGCCACAGUUGGUUGACCGAAAUUCUCUAUUGUACCAAAAUACUUAGCCUUUUUAUGUAGUAACUCUGGUCAAGAAAAACUAGAGAAAGAGUCACUACGGCUUUUGUAGUAUUCCGGGUAUCGUUCUCAAAGACUGGUUUAUGAAAAUUGUCAAUACUAGAAUAAAUGAAUUGUUUUUGUUUAAAUCCUUAAAUGAAAAAACAAUAUGUGAAUAAUGUGAAACUAAGUAAAAAAAAUUAAAUUAAUAAGAAAAAAUGAAUAUUGAUUUUAAAUUCAAUUGAUUUAAGUUUGGGGUUUUCCACAAUCCAACCUAGGGUAUAGAAAUUAGAGAAAAUAAGGGUAUUUUAAGUAAUAUGAUCUUAGGGUUUUAGGAUCCUUGGCCGUUCGCGAUUAAGUUGAGUUCUAUAACUCAAGAUUGCAUCUAAAACCUAAUUUUUCCUUUUUAAAACAGAUUCCUAAAACCAUCAAAUGAAUGAGAUUGAUUAUCAAUUUAAGAUUUGACUUUUUAACCCUUCCUACUCCUUAUAGCUUUGUUUAGGGGCAAAUAACGGUAGGGAAGACGAGGAUAACUAAUGAUCAAGAAUUACCAAGAAUCACUAGUAUCAAGUAAUAACCUACUGUAUCAUUCCCUAAGCGAACUCACAAGGAUAUGAUAAAAAAAAAAUGAUAAAUUGUCACCCAACCAAUAAUUAAUCUCAUUGUUAUAGUAAUUUACCCAUUGUCCCUAUAGGUUUUCUAGUCCUUAGGUUUUCAUGCUUCAAGCCCCAAGUUGGCUCUUAGCCUCUCAUGGGGGUGAUGUCACAUUCACAAUCCAUAAUAGGGUAAAAAUCCAUAAUUUGAAUCAAAAGAAACUAAAAACAAUAUAUUCAAUAGAGAAGAAAAAGAAAACAAACCAAAGUUCUCGUCUUCCACCUUCAAUGUCAAACUCUCCAGAAAAAAAUCCAAGAUCCCUAAAACCUAGAAUUGAGAGAGUUUAUAUAAUAUCCUCAAUUACCUAACAUGUGGCACACUCUCAUUGGCCACUUAUUACAAAAUAAUUUCCUAAAAAUGAUUAAAAAAUAAUAAAAUGGUGAUUUCUAGUCGUGUGGGGUCACCUAGGGCGGAUGGAGUGCUUUAGAUGCAAUUCCCGAGGUAGAGGAGGCAGAACAUCAAAGUGGUAGUGGGUGAAUUCGAAAUUGGUGUCAUUUCGAAGUGGAUUUCGAAUUCAUAAGUUGAAUUUCGAAAUCAUUUCGAAAUGACCCUCCAACUUGGUGCAGUUGUCUUCAAAUGGCUAUAAAUUCUUCAUUUCAGAUCCGAUUUGCAAACUGUUUGAAGUGUUGGACUCCUGACUUCCCAAGCUUCGAAACAAUAUAUAGUAUGUAUAUAAUGGACUCCAGAAAGUUCUCCAAAUUUUUCCUCAAAGCCAGAGUAUAUAAUGCCAUCAGAUUUUUGAGUUCUAAAUUUCCAUGCAGCUAAAUCUUGCUUCAUGCCUCAUUUCCCAUCCUUUCUUGCCUUCUUUCUUACUCCAUAAUGGUCAUUUAUCAUUUUCCAACCUCAUGAUAUCCUCGUUUUGCCUUUCCUUACGUUCAAUGAGUCUUGACUCACUUAUUUCCUCAUUUAGCCCUUUCUUGAUCUUUCAAAAUCUAAAGUCAUUCAUUUUGCACAAUUUUCUUCCCUUGAACCUGAGAUAAGUCUCCAAAGUAUAGAUUAAACUCAUGGAUAGGGCCUUAGCAUUGAUUUAGGUCAAGUUGGGUGAUUUGAAUGUCCUUUGGUGCACAAAUCAUAUCGAAUAUGUGCCAUUAUAACACAUAUUUUGGCUCCAAUCAUUGGUCUUACAGGACCUGUGUUAUGAGAGAAAACCAAGAAAGUUCACUUCAUAACCCAUUUGAAACCACACUAGAAAAUGGCAACCAGUAGCAUCUCUUUGUUAGCUCCUCAAAUCUUUGUGGGAGAAAACUAUCAAUUUUGGUCCGUAAAGAUGAAAACGUACUUGGAAGCAUUUGAUCUUUGGGAAGUUGUAGCUGAAGACGAACCAAUAGCUCCACUUCCGGCGAAUCCUACCUUAGCACAAAUUAGAGCUCAUACUAACGAAAAGACCAAAAAGUUUAAAGCUAAGACUUUAAUCCAAAAUUCAGUUGCUGACUCAAUAUUUCAUAGAAUUAUGAAUUGCAGGACAGCCAAAGAAGCCUGGGACAAGCUUAAAUUGGAGUAUCAAGGAAGUGAUAGAACCAAACAAAUGCAAGUGCUGAAUCUGAAAAGGGAUUUCGAGUCUUUAACCAUGCAAGAAGAUGAAACUAUCACCAAGUAUUCUGACAGAAUUGCUUUGAUUGUUAACAAAAUCAGGUCGUUUGGUGAAGAAUUUCCUAAUGCAAGGAUCGUGUAAAAGGUUCUUAUGACACUUCCUGAGAUGUUUGAGUCCAAGAUUUCAUCUCUUGAAGAAUGUAGGGACCUUUCACAAAUUUCACUUGUUGAACUAAUGAACGCACUCCAAGCACAAGAGCAAAGAAGAGCUUUGAGGCAAGAGAACGUCACAGAAGGUGCUUUUCAAAUGCAGACCCUACAAUCUAAUAAAGACAAAAACCAGUUUAGCAAGAAGAAAAGUAAAAGCAGAGAGAAUAGCAGCAAAGAAAGGGCCCAACAAAAGAAAUAUCCAACCUGCUCACAUUGCAAGAAGACUACGCAUCUAGAGAAAUACUGUUGGUGGAGGCCAGAUGCAAUAUGCGGCAACUGCAAACAGCUUGGGCAUGUUACCAAAGUCUGCAAAUAUAAAAAUAAAGGUCCUCAAUUUCAGCAAGCACAAGUUACUGAUGCAGAUUCGUAGGAGGAGAAACUCUUUGUAGCAUCAUGUUUCUCAAGUCAAGACUCUUAUAAUGCUUGGCUCAUUGAUAGUGGAUGCACACACCACAUGUGUCACAAUGCUACAAUAUUCAAGGACCUUGACAAAACCUACAACUCUACGGUGAAAGUAGGCAAUGGUGGAUAUGUGGAUGUCAAGGGAAGGGGCACGGUUGCUGUCAAAACAAAUUCAGGUAUCAAGCUCAUCUCUGAUGUGUUAUUUGUACUUGAUAUUAGUCAAAAUCUAUUGAGUGUAGGUCAAAUGCUUGAAAAGCAAUAUUCCCUACAAUUCAAAGACAACCAAUGCAUCAUCUUUGAUCCAUAUGGAGAGAAAUUGCUUUGUAUGAAGAUGAAAAGCAAGAGCUUUGUCAUCAAUUGGGAGAAUGCUACUGAAUAUGCAUAUGCUGGAGUUACUCAAAGUGUUUCAGACCUAUGGCAUAAACAGUUUGGACACUAUAACCAAAGGAGUUUAGUAGAGCUAAAAAAACUUGAGCUGGUGGAAGACAUGCCAAACGUAUCUAAUGAAGCUCAAAUAUGUGAGAUUUGUCAACAAGGCAAACAAGCAAGGUUGCCAUUCAAAAAUAAUCAAGCAUGGAGAGCCAUUGAAAAGCUUCAACUCAUACACACCGAUGUUUGUGGUCCCAUGAAAACAACUUCUUUGAGUGGUAACAAAUACUUCAUUCUCUUUAUGGAUGACUAUACCAGAAUGUGUUGGGUAUAUUUUAUCAAACUAAAGAAUGAAGUUUUCUCUGUUUUCAAACAAUUCAAAGCCCUUGUAGAAAAUCAAAGCAACUUGAGCAUUAAAAUCUUAAGGUCUGACAAUGGUACGAAAUAUACCUCCAAUCAAUUUGUUGAGUUUUGUAGCACUGCAAGCAUCGAACGUCAGCUAACAACUCCAUACACUCCACAACAAAAUGGUGUCUCAGAGAGGAAGAAUUGAACUGUAAUGGAGAUGUCCAGGUGUCUUCUAUUUGAGAAAAAAAUGCCAAGUAAUUUUUGGGUAGAGGUAGUUAACACCUCUGUAUAUUUGCUGAACAGAUUGCCUACAAAAUCCUUGAAGAACAAAACACCAUAUGAAGCAUGGUAUGGUGUCAAGCCCUUUGUUAAUCAUCUUAAAAUAUUUGGAAGCAUAUGCUAUUAUCAUGUAUCAGAACCUAAAAGAAGCAAGCUAGAUAGUAGAGCUCAAAAGGGCAUUCUCAUUGGCUACGGGACAUCAACUAAGGGCUAUAGAAUAUUCUGUUUGCAAACUAACAAAGUUGUCUUGAGCAGGAAUGUAAAAGUUGAUGAAAUGACAACUUGGGAUUGGAAAAAUAAAAAAGAUGCGCAAUCUGAUGUCGGCUUUAAUAAUCAUGAAGAUUUUCAAACUUCUAAAUCCGUAGAUGAUUUUCCAGUGAGGGGCACAAGAAGCUUGGAGGACAUCUAUCAAAGGUGCAAUUUAGCAAUAACUGAACUAACAAGUUAUGUAGAAGCCAAAGAUUCUGAAGCAUGGAGGAGAGCAAUGCAAGAAGAAUUGAAGAUGAUUAACAAGAAUGAAACCUAGCAGCUUGUGGAGAGACCAAAAAAUCACAAGGUGAUUGGAGUGAAAUGGGUUUUCAAAACAAAACUCAAUUUUGAUGGUUCGAUAUGCAAACACAAAGCUAGGCUAGUGGUGAAGGGAUAUGCUCAACAGUAUGGUGUUGAUUAUUAGGAGACUUUUGCUCCUGUGGCAAGGUAUGACACUAUCAGGCUACUUUUUGUACUUGCUGCUCAAAAUUCUUGGCAUAUUCAUCAGUUAGAUGUUAAAUCUGCCUUCUUAAAUGGAUUUGUUGAUGAAGAGAUAUAUGUAGAGCAACCAGAUGGGGUUGUGGCUCUAGGCAAAGAGGACUAUGUGUACCUUCUAAGGAAGGCAUUGUAUGGCUUGAAACAAGCCCCCAGGGCUUGGUAUGAAACCAUGGACAAGCAUCUGACUAAACUUGGUUUUGUUAGAAGUCAGAGUGAAGCAACCUUAUAUGUAAAAACUAAUGAUGUCCAACCUUUAAUAAUCUCUCUUUAUGUAGACGACAUGGUUGUAACAGGAAAUCAGCCCAAGUUAAUUCAAAGCUUCAAGGAUGAGAUGAACAAAGUCUUUGAAAUGACCGAUCUUGGAGUCAUGAAGUAUUUUUUGGGAAUGGAAGUGAUGCAGUCAUGUUCAAGAAUUUUCAUAUGCCAAUAGAAGUAUGCUAUGGAUAUGCUGAAAAAAUUUAAAAUGCAAGAUUGCAAGCCUGUGUCUACUCCUAUGACAACCAGCGAGAAGUUAAGCAAGGAUGACAACUCCGAGAAAAUAAAUGAAGGCUUAUAUAGAAGCUUAAUUGGUAGCCUUUUAUACUUAACAGCUAGCAGACCUGACAUACUGUUUGCUGUUAGUGUGCUUUCCAGGUUCAUGCACUCACCAAGUGAGAAACAUUUUCAGCAGCUAAAAGAGUAUUAAGGUACAUCAAAGGAACAAUUGAUCUUGGAGUUCAAUUUUCAAAAUCUGCAGAAGGUGGUUUGAAGCUGCUAGGCUACUCCGACAGCGAUUGGGGAGGUUGUGUUGAUGAUUCAAGAAGUACUUCAGGGUACUUAUUCUCCCUAGGCUCAGGUUGUUUCACUUGGAGCUCAAAGAAACAAGAAACCAUAGCCCAAUCAACAGCAGAGGCAGAAUACAUUGCUGCUGCAUCUGCUGUAAAUCAAGCUUUAUGGUUAAGAAAAAUAUUGAAAGACUUAGGGCAAGAGCAAGUUGAAGCAACCAACAUUAUGUGUGACAACACUUCUAUAGUAUCAAUUUCGAAAAAUCCGGUGUUUCAUGGUCGAACAAAGCAGAUAAAGAUCAAGUAUCAUUUUAUUAGAGAAGUUCAAUAAUCCAAUGAAGUGUUACUUGUUCAUUGUUCCUCUGAAAAUCAACUUGCAGAUAUAUUCACAAAGCCUUUACCAAUGGAAAGGUUUGAAGCUCUUAAGUAGAAGAUAGGUGUUUGUCAUCCGGAUGCCAAGGAGGAGUGUUCAGUUGUUGGCAUUCCAGAUUCCAAUCCUUGAAGACUUAGUCUUUGCUGAAGAUUAGCUAAAGUUUGUUAUGACUCUGUUUGUUUUAAAUUUCAAAAAUAGGUGUAACAACCUAAAUAAAUAUGCAGGAAAGAUAGGAAGAUUUUGUUAUUUUUCUUGUAUAAAUAUCUCAUCUCAAAUGGAAUAAAAUUAUCAACUUCUCUCUAUCAUAUCUGUAGCCUUUUCUUCAUUAAGUUGCAGCUUUAUACCUGUAAUUUCUCCAACACCAACUUGUAAGAAGCACUUUCUUUGUCAUUGCUAUCCUAAACCUCCACACAUGGAUCUCAAUUGGCUUAUAAAAAGCAUUUGUAUCAGUAUUUUGUGCAUUCCAUACAUACAACUUCUGGCUGCAAUUCUAUUUUCAUGGCUAAUAUCAAUGCCUCCAUUCAUUUCCUUCUGCUUAUUUUCCUCUCCUCCACUUUUCUCUAUCUUGAAACUGUUAAACUUGGUUCCUGCAAUGGCGUUCUCAAUGUCAGCUGCACCGAAAUUGAGAGAAAAGCCCUUGUUGACUUCAAACAAGGUCUUACUGAUCCUUCCGGCAGGCUCUCUUCUUGGGUUGGCCUGGAUUGCUGUAGAUGGAGUGGUGUGGUGUGCAGCCAGAGGGUGCCUCGAGUCAUCAAGCUCAAACUCCGCAACCAGUAUGUUAGAAGUCCGGAAGCCAACGAUGAAGAUACCGGUGCUUUUGAGGAUGACUAUGGAGCAGCUCAUGCAUUUGGCUGCGAGAUAAGUCAUUCUUUACUUGAUUUGAAAGAUUUGAGGUACUUGGACUUGAGCAUGAACAAUUUUGGAGGACUCAAAAUCCCCAAGUUCAUUGGAUCAUUCAAGAGGUUGAGAUAUCUCAAUCUCUCAGGAGCAUCAUUCGGUGGAACUAUCCCACCCCACCUAGGGAACCUUUCUAGCUUGCUCUAUCUUGAUCUCAACUCUUAUUCUCUUGAAUCAGUUGAGAAUGACCUGCACUGGUUAUCAGGUCUUUCUUCUCUGAGACACCUUAAUUUGGGAAAUAUAGAUUUUAGCAAGGCUGCAGCUUAUUGGCAUCGAGCUGUUAACUCCCUUUCUUCACUUUUGGAACUACGCUUACCUGGAUGUGGCCUGUCUUCCCUUCCUGAUCUCUCUCUUCCAUUUGGUAAUGUCACCUCACUUUCGGUGCUCGAUCUCUCCACCAAUGGCUUCAAUUCGUCGAUACCUCUUUGGUUGUUCAACUUUAGUAGUCUUGCAUACCUUGAUCUCAACUCCAAUAGUCUUCAAGGCAGUGUUCCUGAAGGAUUUGGUUACUUGAUUUCCUUUAAAUACAUUGAUUUUUCUUCUAAUUUAUUUAUUGGUCACUUACCAAGAGACUUAGGAAAGCUUUUCAACUUGCGAACUCUCAAACUAUCUUUCAACAGCAUUAGUGGAGAGAUAACUGAAUUCAUGGAUGGGUUGUCCGAGUGUGUAAACAGUAGUAGAUUAGAGUCUCUGGAUUUGGGGUUCAAUUAUAAACUGGGUGGGUUUCUUCCUAAUUCUUUGGGACACCUAAAGAACUUGAAGUCUCUUCAUCUGUGGAACAACUCAUUUGUGGGGUCAAUUCCAAACUCCAUUGGAAAUUUGUCGUCUUUGCAAGGAUUCUACAUCUCUAAAAAUCAAAUGAAUGGAAUAAUCCCAGAGAGUGUUGGCCAACUCUCAGCAUUGGUUGCAGUGGAUCUCUCAGAGAAUCCAUGGGUUGGUGUUGUGACUGAGUCUCAUUUCUCCAAUCUCACAAGCUUAACUGAGUUGGCAAUCAAGAAGUCAUCUCCAAAUAUCACCUUGGUCUUCAAUGUGAAUUCUAAAUGGAUUCCUCCUUUUAAACUCAAUUACCUGGAACUCAGAACGUGCCAACUAGGUCCCAAAUUUCCUACAUGGCUGAGAACCCAAAACUAGCUGAAGAUAAUAGUGCUCAACAAUGCUAGGAUUUCAGACACAAUACCUGAUUGGUUUUGGAAGUUAGACUUGCAGCUCGAGCUACUGGAUGUUGCCAAUAAUCAAAUGAGUGGGAGGGUCCCAAAUUCAUUGAAAUUUCCUGAAAAUGCUGUUGUGGAUUUGAGCUCCAACCGCUUUCACGAUCCUUUCCCACACUUUUCUUCUAACCUGAGUUCAUUGUAUUUGAGAGACAAUUUAUUUUCUGGACCAAUACCUCGGGAUGUUGGCAAAACCAUGCUGUGGUUGACAAAUUUUGAUGUCUCUUGGAACUCUCUAAAUGGUACCAUUCCCUUGUCUAUAGGUAAGAUUACGGGUUUGGCAAGUCUGGUUCUCUCAAAUAAUCAUUUAUCUGGUGAAAUUCCUUUGAUUUGGAAUGAUAAACCAGAUUUGUACAUCGUAGAUAUGGAAAAUAACAGCCUAUCUGGUGAGAUCCCUAGCUCAAUGGGCAUCCUGAAUUCACUUAUGUUCUUGAUACUGAGUGGCAACAAACUUUCAGGGGAAAUUCCUUCUUCACUGCAGAAUUGCAAGGACAUGGAUAGUUUUGACCUUGGCGAUAAUAGAUUAUCAGGAAACCUUCCGUCAUGGAUAGGAGAGAUGCAAUCGUUGUUGAUUCUACGCCUGCGAUCAAACUUGUUUGAUGGAAACAUUCCCUCCCAAAUGUGCAUUCUUUCCCAUCUUCAUAUAUUGGACCUCGCACAUAAUAAUCUGUCAGAAUCCGUUCCUUUUUGUUUGGGAAAUUUGAGUGGCAUGGCUACUGAAAUCAGCAAUGAGCGAUACGAGGGGCAAUUGUCAGUUGUGAUGAAAGGAAGAGAACUCAUAUAUCAGAAUACUCUGUAUCUCGUGAAUAGCAUUGAUCUUUCAGACAAUAAUAUAUCAGGGAAGUUGUCUGAAAUAAGAAAUCUUUCAAGACUUGGCACCUUGAACUUGUCCAGAAACCAUUUGACAGGAAAUAUACCAGAGGACGUUGGGAGCUUAAGUCAAUUAGAAACUCUGGACCUCUCAAGAAACCAGCUCUCUGGCUUGAUUCCACCAAACAUGGUUUCUAUGACUUCCUUGAAUCACUUGAACUUGUCUUACAACAGACUAUCUGGUAAAAUUCCAACAAGCAACCAGUUCCAAACCUUCAAUGACCCGUCCAUAUACAGGAAUAACCUUGCACUCUGUGGGGAGCCUCUGGCAAUGAAGUGCCCAGGCGAUGAUGGGGCUACUACUGAUUCUUCAGGUGUGGAUAAUGAAGAUCAUGACGAUGAACAUGAAGAUGCGUUUGAAAUGAAGUGGUUCUACAUGAGCAUGAUGUCACGGACUUAGUCGUUUCCUAAGCUCGUGCGGCACUUAGGCAAAUCAAGACGCUUGAUCUUGCUAAGUCAGCCUUACCUCCGACACUUAGCUUGCUAGACUAAGAUGCUCACGACUCGGAAGCUUGAGAAGUUGUAGUAGGUAACUUUUAAAGAAUGGAAGCUCUUAUUACUCAAGGAAGCCUUUACAAGUGCUUGGAAGCUUACUUGCUUGGUGCCUUGGCCAAAUGAGGCCCUCACCUAUUUAUAGGCACCAAUGAAACUCUCUAGAACCUUGGAGGGUUCCUUACAAUUCAUGAAUAUUCUAGAAUGUCCUACACUAUUCUAUGUACAAGCCUAUAUACAGGAGACUUCUAGAUUUCUCUAGAAAGCUUUGGACCUUUCUCAUGCCUUCUACCAUAGUGUAGAGUUGUGUGGACUUCUCUAGGCAUUUCUAGAACCUUCCACACUCUUCCCACUAGUGGCUAAGUGUGGAUGUCUCCAAGGGUCUCUAGAAGCUUCUCACCUCCUAUAUAAGCCAUGGGGAGGGUCAUUUGAAGCAUCUUGUGACACUCUCCCCCACCUAAGCCGCAGACGUCCUCGUCACGUCUUCUGCCCGAAACCGCUCAAUCUGCUCCUGGAACUGCCAUAGUGCAUUUCCUGGCUCCCAGCUAGCCUCGCUUUCUAGUAGUCUCUUCCAUUUCACUAAGUACUCCGUAGUAGGAGGCACACCACGCCUUCUGAUGAUUCGGUCUGCAAUGAUGUGUUCCACCUCCUUGUCAUAGGAGGUCAUGACCGCUGUAGGUGCCCUCUUAGAAAGCCCUCGGCUUGGAUCAUCCUUGUCUUCGUGAUAUGGUUUCAAGUAACUCACGUGGAAGACAGGGUGAAUCUUUAACCUUGGCGAUAACUCCACUUUGUAGGAUACCUUGCCGACCUUUCCAAGUAUAGGGAAGGGUCCUUCAUACCUCCUCACAAGGCCCUUAUGCACUGGCCUUAGGGAUUUGAAUUGUUGAGGAAGGAGCUUGACAAGCACCAUGUCUCCGACCUUGUACUCCGUGUGACGUCGCUUCUUGUCAGCCCACUUCUUCAUUUUCUUAGCGGCCUUGUCCAAGUACGAGCGUGCUAUGUCAGCUUGCUCAUGCCACCCCUUCACGAACUUGAAAGUCGCUGGACUUCUCCCCAUGUAGCCUAUCGUUAGCGUGUGAGGAGUUAAGGGUUGCUGCCUUGUGGCUAGCUCGAACGGGCUCUUGUUGGUCGCCUCACUCCUUUGCAAGUUGUAUGAGAACUGGGCUAUAUCUAGCAACUUAGCCCAAUCUCUCUGGUUGGCACUCACAAAGUGCCUCAAGUACAGCUCCAGCAAGGCGUUCACCCUCUCAGUCUGCCCAUCUGUCUGUGGGUGAAAGCUGGUGGAGAAGUGAAGCUCCGAACCCAUAAGCUUGAAGAGCUCCGUCCAAAAUUUCCCAGUGAAACGCGGAUCGCGAUCACUGAUAAUAUACUUAGGCAAUCCCCAAUACUUGACUACGUGUUUUAAGAAUAGUCUUGUCGUCUCCUCCGCAGUGCAGUCAGUAGGGGCUGCUAUGAAGGUCGCAUAUUUAGAGAACCUGUCCACUACCACUAUGAUAGAGCCGUUGUCCUCUGACUUGGGCAGCCCGAUGAUGAAGUCCAUGGUGAUGCUGUCCCAUGGGCGCUCCGCUAUUGGUAAUGGUUCCAACAGGCCUCUAGGCUGUCGUUGCUCCACCUUGUCUUGUUGACACACAAGACAAGUUCUCACGUAGGCCUCAACCUCAUCCCGUAUUUGAGGCCAACAGUAAGCCGACUCGAGUAAUGCCCUCGUGCGUCGUUGCCCUGGGUGCCCUGCCCACUUGGUGUCGUGGCACUCCUUAAUUAGAUUCCGUCUUAUGUUUCCCCACUUAGGCACGUAGAGUCGUCUCCCCUUAGUGUAGAGUAGGCUGUCCUCCACCCAAAACCGCUUAGUCUUCCCUUCAUGAGCCAGGGCGAUGACGCUCUUAGCCACUGGAUCAUGUUGCAGUCCUUCCCUUAGAAGAUCUAUUAUGUCUCCUUGGGGCUGACUCGUCAUAGACGCUAGCUUGGCUUUGCGGCUUAGGGCGUCGGCCACAUGAUUAGCACUUCCCGGCUUAUACUCCAGCGUAUAGUCAAACUCGGCCAGGAAGUCUUGCCACCUAGCUUGUUUAGGACUCAGCUUCUUCUGUGUCUGGAAGUAGCUAGUGGCCACAUUGUCGGUCUUCACUAUGAAGUGAGACCCUAGCAAAUAGUGCCUCCAAGUGCGCAAGCAGUGGACAAUAGCGGUCAUCUCCUUUUCUUGUACCGUGUAACGCCUCUCCGCAUCGUUUAGCUUGCGACUCUCAAAUGCGAUUGGGUACCUUUCUUUCAUAAGGACUCCCCCAAUAGCGAAGUCUGAGGCAUCUGUGUGUACCUCAAAGACCUUGGUGUGGUCGGGUAGUGCCAACACUGGCUCCUCAGUCACAGCCUUCUUCAGGUCCUCAAAGGCUUGUUGGCACCUUUCAUCCCAUUCCCAUGCCUUAUUCUUCUUAAGAAGAUCAGUGAGUGGAGCAGCCCUUCCCGAAUAACCCUUUAUGAACCACUGGUAAUAAUUAACUAAACCAAGGAAAGAUCUGAGUUGAGGUACCUUGGUUGGUGGAUCCCACUCCUGGAUGGCUUUCACCUUGCUAUCAUCCAUCAUUAGCUUGCCAUCUCUGAUGCGAUGCCCUAGGAAGCUCACUUUCUCCUUAGCAAACGAGCACUUCUCCUUCUUCACGUAUAGCUUGUUCUGCCUCAAGAUCUUAAAGACCUUCCUCAAGUGCUCUUCGUGCUCCUUUAGAGUGUUACUAUAGAUGACUAUGUCAUCCAAGUACACCACCACGAACUUGUCCAAGUAUGGGUGGAAGAUCUUGUUCAUGAGGGUGCAAAACGUUGUUGGGGCAUUGGUGAGUCCGAAAGGCAUCACUAAGAACUCAUAUGAGCCAUACCUGGUCACACAUGUAGUCUUCGGCUCAUCUCCCUCCGCAAUCCUGACUUGGUAGUAGCCUGACCUUAAGUCCAGCUUUGUGAAGUACCUUGCCCUUCCAAGUUGAUCGAACAAGUCAGCAAUGAGCAGGAUGGGAUACUUGUUUUUCACCGUCACCUUGUUGAGUGCCCGGUAGUCGAUACACAUCCGUAGGGAUCCAUCGUGUUUCUUUUGAAACAAGACCGGCGCGCCAUAAGGAGCCUUGGAUGGUUGGAUGAACCUCGCAUCUAGCAACUCCUUGAGUUGUCUUCUUAGUUCCUCCAACUCGGGUGGUGCCAUCCUAUAUGGCCCCAUAGCAGGGGGCUUGGCUCCCGGCUCCAGCUCAAUCUUGUGAUCUUCCUCUCUCCUAGGAGGAAGUCUCUUGGGCAACUCGGGUUGCAUAACGUCCUUGAACUCAUCAAGGACCCCCUCGAUUUCCUUAGGCAUGGGUCCUCCCGACCCAUCAUCCCUUUCUUCCUUAAGGGUGGCGAGGUAGGUCACCUCUUCCCUUUUUAACCCCUUUUUUACUUGCAUAGCGGAUAGCAUAGAGGUCUUGAGCGUACCUUCAAUGACCGUAGGGACCAUGCAUGGCUUCUCCUCCUCUAGGAUAGCCAUUGAGCGUAAGAAAGGUAGUGGCACGGCCUUGACCUUCUGUAGGAAGUCCAUUCCUAGCACCAUCUUGAAGUCGUCCAUGGGUGCCACUGUGAAGUCGACCCUUCCUUCCCACGAGCCAAUGUGCAUAGUCACCCCGCGAGCUACUCCAUGUGAUGGCUUAGCGGUUGAAUUAACUGCCUUGAGCCAUCCUCCUUCCUUGGAUGCUUGGAGCUCCAGCCUUCUUGCCUCAUCUUCCGAGACAAAGUUGUGAGUGGCACCUGUGUCCACCAGGGCCUUGGUGGCCUUCCCAUUCACAAGGGCCUCCACAUACAUCAGCCCCUUGCAUUGAGGCAUCCUAGGCAUCGGCUUGGCCUUAAGGGCAUUCAGGAGCUGCAAUGAUCCCAUCUUAGCAUUGCCUUCCUGCUCCUUCUCCUCGAUCAUAGCAUUUAAAGCCUUCCUCUUAGGGCAGUCCCGUGCCCAUUGCGGACCAUCGCACAAGAAGCAAUUGGUCCUGGGCGUGAACUCCUUUCGCUUGUCCUUGCCUUUGCUAUCCUUGCCACUAGGGCCUUUGCUUGAUCUUUCCUUAGGAGUGUGGCCCUGCGACCUCUUAUCUCCCCCACCUUUAGCCUGGUUACCCUUGGAUGGUGGCUUGGGCUUGGAAGAGUCUCCCCUUCUAUAAUCCACCAAGGACUCGGCUACUGCCAUGGCCGUGGCUAGGUCUUGGACACCACGUCUCCUCAACUCUUGCUCGGCCCAACUUUGCAGGUUGUCCAUGAAGUUAAAUAGUAGCUCCUCCUUAGCCAUGUUAGGUAUCUCAAGCAUAAGAGUAGAGACUUCUUUGACAUACUCACGGAUCGAGCCCGUGUGCUUGAGACGCUUUAAACUCUUCCUUGCUAGGUAAGCCACGUCUUCGGGAUAGAAUUGCCUCUUGAUUUCUCUCUUGAAGGCAUCCCAUGUGUCUAUGGUGCACGUCCCUCUCUCUAUGUCGGCAAACCGUCGACGCCACCAUAGAGUAGCAUUAUCAGUGAGGUAAAGGGUCGCGGUGCGUACCUUAGUGGCUUCAUCCAUUAAUGCAAUGGCCUCAAAGUAACGCUCCAUGUGCCACAAGAAGUUAUCCAGCUCCUUGGCAUCCCUUUUGCCACUGAACGUGUGUGGCUUGGGCACCUCUACCCUUGGUGCCUCAAGAGUGGCCAUGACUCGUGCUGAUACAGCGGUCUUAUAGAUGGCCAACUCUUGUCGAAUCUCUUGGUCUCAGGCCUCCACUCGUGCAGUCAAGGCCUCCAUCCUUGACUCCACACUAGCGAACAUGCUCAUGACCUUGUCUUGGAAGGACAUGAACUCCUCGUGUGACACCGGCUGAACUUGCGAGACCAGCACCCCCUCGCGAAGGUCUUGGACCUGCUCCCUUAGAUCCUUUAAGCCCUUCUUCAUGCCUUGCUCGAUCAAGUCCACCCCUUCCCGGGUGUCUGCCAUGGCUAGCUCCACUUUGGCUAACCUUGCCUCCAUGUUGGCAACAACAUCACGAGAUGUAUCCUUCUUACCUCUGCCCCUGCCCCGUGCAGUAGGCUCGGCCUCCCUCCCACGGGUUUGUUCGCUAGUCUCCUCCACGUUAGAGCCCGACAUGCUUCCCUUAUGCCCGCUUCGUAGCCGCGCUCUGAUACCACUUGUCACGGACUUAGUCGUUUCCUAAGCUCGUGCGGCACUUAGGCAAAUCAAGACGCUUGAUCUUGCUAAGUCAGCCUUACCCCCGACACUUAGCUUGCUAGAUUAAGAUGCUCACGACUCGGAAGCUUGAGAAGUUGUAGUAGGCAACUUUUAAAGAAUGGAAGCUCUUAUUACUCAAGGAAGCCUUUACAAGUGCUUGGAAGCUCACUUGCUUGGUGACUUGGCCAAAUGAGGCCCUCACCUAUUUAUAGGCACCAAUGGAACUCUCUAGAACCUUGGAGGGUUCCUUACAAUUCAUGAAUAUUCUAGAAUGUCCUACACUAUUCUAUGUACAAGCCUAUAUACAGGAGACUUCUAGAUUUCUCUAGAAAGCUUUGGACCCUUCUCAUGCCUUCUACCAUAGUGUAGAGUUGUGUGGACUUCUCUAGGCAUUUCUAGAACCUUCCACACUCUUCCCACUAGUGGCUAAGUGUGGAUGUCUCCAAAGGUCUCUAGAAGCUUCUCACCUCCUAUAUAAGCCAUGGGGAGGGUCAUUUGAAGCAUCUUGUGACAAUGAGGCCUGGAUUUGUAGUGGGAUUUUGGGGAGUUUUUGGCCAUUUGAUAAUAAAUAGGUCUUGGAGGCGAGCCUACUUCCGGUUCCUGGAUGAGAUGAAAGAUAGAGUUAUGGUGGUUAUCACAGAGAAUGUAGCAUGUCUGCAAAAGAAAUGCAAAUAGGAAAGAAAACAUCAUCAAACUUGAACAGAUAUCCAUCAACAAGCUUUCUAGCUAAAAUAACAGUCUCUAUGUGUCAGUGGUUUGCUUCAUGUACUUCCUCCUAACACAAUAAAACAUUGGUUAAUUAAGAGCUUUUCUUCCAACCUUGAUAGACUGGUAUAUCUGCUUGCAUCUGUGGUAUUCUUCUUCUUCUACAGGUUUUUCUUCCUUUUGAUUUAGUGAAGUAGUAGAACCUUAGCCCCCUGCUAGGCAAUCUGAUAACUUUGCUGAACAGUGGGAGAAGUGGAUUACUACCUCGCAUCGAUAUACGAUCUCAACCCCAGAUGAAAGAUGAAAUGUAAGGUGUCAACCUCCAGUUGCAUUUUGGGAUACAAACACCUUACAUGCUUCGUAAUUUUAUGGCUAAAUUGUAAUAUAUGCUAUCAACUAUGUGUGAUACCCAGAGAGCUAAUAACUAUUACUGCUAAAUCAUAAUAUUACUGCUAAAUCAUACUUAACCCCAUGAGGAAAGCUCGGACUCCACUCAUUUUUCAACAAAAAGGCAACGCGAUAGAAAAUCCCAGUUGUCAAAUUCAAUGCGCGUAAGACUAGGCCCAUAAGAGCCUGGGAGACCAAGGCCACCAGCAGCCACAACCUGGGCAGCACGCCCUGACCCUAUGGUCACCCCCAUGGUGCAGAACGUGCUCCCGCACCGUGACCCUAUGGUCACCCCCAUGGUGCGGAACGUUCACUCGCACCUAGUGACGCGACAAGAUGGGAGAAACCUCCCAAACGAGCCACCCAUUGGCUCCAUUAGCAAAAUGCUGGACGACAUGCUCUCCACGCCUUUCUGCUCUCAUAUCAUUCAUUACGAGCCCCCAAGGGGAUUCUUCGUACCAAAAUUUUCCACAUACGAUGGGUCCAACGACCCCUUCGAGCAUAUCAUGCAUUAUCGACAGCUCAUGACGCUCGAUAUUGGCAACGACGCAUUGCUGUGCAAAAUAUUACCCACCAGCCUACAAGGGCAAGCCCUCUCAUGGUUUCAUCGCCUACCUCCCAACUCUGUUGACAAUUUCAGAGAUCUAUCCGAAGCUUUCGUAGGACAAUACUUAUGCUCUGCUCGACAUAAGCAGAACAUCAACACUCUGCAAAACAUAAAAAUGCAAGAUAACGAAUCCUUAAGGGAGUUCGUAAAGCGGUUUGGUCAAGCUGUACUUCAGCUAGAGGCUUAUAGCAUGGAUGCUGUCCUGCAGAUCUUCAAACAAAGCAUCUUUCCAGGCACCCCAUUUUUCGAAUCGCUAGCUAAAAAGCCUCCUACAACGAUGAACGACUUGUUCAGAUGUGCAAGCAAAUACUCAAUGCUCGAAGAUGACGUACGAGCAGCCACCCAGUAAGUCCUGGUUGUUGGACAGGCAACUAGAAGUGGCACAGAAAGAAGUGCCAAACUUCCGGACCGGCCAAGGCCGUCCGAUCGAAGGUAGGAAGGGCCAAGUCGCCCGAAAAGGCCGCCCCUCACAUCUCUCUCCAUAUCAUAUGAGAAACUUCUCCCUAUGAUCCAAGGCUUGUCCGACUUCAGAUGGCCUAGACCCCUCGGAACGGACCCAUCCAAAAGAGAUCAUAACAAGAAAUGUGCCUUCCACAAGGAGUAUGGUCACACAACGGAAGAAUGCAGGUGCCUCCAUUAUUUGGUCGAAAGGCUCAUAAGGGCGGGGCAUUUAAAGCAAUACCUCCGCUCAGAUGCCGGAGGUAGAGACGCUUCCCAAAAUCACAACUCUGGAGCCCCCAAGGCCCCAGCCGCCUCUAAGGCCAUUAUAAACUACAUUAACGAAGGCCCAUCUGAAGAGGAGUAUGACUCCAAACGAAAGAGACAAAAGUUGUUGCGGGCUGCAUCGGUGCGUGAGCGUAUCAACUCCAUCUGACCUGGGUUAACUGGGGGGAGCCCUCGCCCCAUAGAUGGAACAAUCAUUUUCCCACCAGUAGACCCCACCCGAACACUGUAGCCACAUCGCGACGCCCUCAUCCUAUCCCUAGAGAUAGGAGACUUCGACGUGAGACGCAUUCUGGUUGACCCGGGCAGCUUGGCCGAUCUUGUGCAAGCAUCGGUCGUUAGCCACAUGGGACACAGUCUCACGGGCCUUGAAAACCCUGGGCGAAUCCUGUCUGGAUUCAACGAAUCGUCAACUACUUCCUUGGGAGACAUUGUACUGCCGGUCCAAGCUGGCCCAAUCACUCUCAAUGUACAAUUUUCGGUGGUACAAGAUUUAUCGCCUUUCAAUAUCAUCUUGGGGCGCACAUGGCUACACUACAUGAAAGCCAUCCCCUUUACAUAUCAUCAAUUGGUGAGUUUCCUUACCAACGAUGGGCAAAUUGACCUCUAUGGCGGCCAGUUAGCCGCUCGCCAAUGCUACCAGAUAGCACGAGAAACAGGGACCAGCCAGGAGGAUGCAUCCCUCCCUGAGUCCAACCAUGCGCGUGACCAAUAGCAAUUAUUGGGUCCGAUGGACAAGGAUCCCCCAACAGCAGAUCCCUUGCAAACAAUCCAAAUUUCGGAAGAAGGUACUCACCUUACAAAGAUCAGUUCCCUUCUGACACCAGAAGAGACCCGAAACAGGCAGAAUGCCCUCAGAAAAAACCAUGACAUCUUCGCAUGAGCACAUUCUGAUAUGAAAGGAAUUCAUCCCUCCAUCACCUUUCAUAGGCUUAACGUCUUACAAACAGCCAGACCCAUCCGGCAAAAGGUGAGACGUUUCCACCCGAACAUACAAGAAAUUAUCCGGAAUGAGGUUGACAAAUUGCUAGAAGCCGGAUUCAUCAGAGAAGUGGAUUACCCGGACUGGUUGGCAAAUGUAGUGGUGGUACCCAAAAAAGAAGGCAAAUGGCAAGUGUGCGUCGAUUACACCAACCUCAAUAAUGCAUGCCCCAAAGACAGUUUUUCUUUGCCAUGAAUAGACCAAAUCGUAGACUCCACUGCUGGGCAAGGGAUGCUCUCAUUUUUGGACGCCUUCUCCGGCUACCACCAAAUUCCCAUGUCCCCGGCUGACGUAGAAAAAACAGCCUUCAUAACUCCACAUGGUCUCUAUUGCUACAGAGUCAUGCCAUUUGGACUCAAAAACGCUGGCGCCACCUAUCAAAGACUGAUGACAAAGAUCUUCAAACCUCUGGUCGGCCGCAUAGUAGAGGUAUAUAUUGACGACAUUGUGGUUAAAAGCAAAACCCAGGAGGAGCAUUUCCUCCAUUUACAAGAAGUCUUCCAACUCUUAAAGAAGUAUGACAUGAAGCUAAAUCAUUUCAAAUGUGCUUUUAGCGUAAGUGUUGGCAAAUUCCUGGGAUUUAUGGUCAGCCAAAGAGGAAUAGAGGUUAGCCUGGAUCAAGUCAAGGCAGUCAUGGAAACACCUCCUCCCAGGAGCAAGAAGGAGUUACAACGCCUUACAGGCAAGCUCGUCGCGCUAGGACGUUUUAUAGCCCGUUUCACUGAUGAACUUCGACCUUUUUUCUUGGCAAUACGAAAGGCUGGAGCAAAUGGAUGGACGGAUAACUGUCAAAACGCUUUUGAAAAAAUUAAACACUGCCUUAUGCAGUCGCCCAUCCUAAGCAGCCCCAUUCCUAAAGAAAAAUUGUACAUAUAUCUGGCUGUAUCAGAGUGGGCAAUCAGCGCUGUCCUAUUCCGCUGCCCUUCACCCAAGGAGCAGAAACCUAUCUACUAUGUCAGCAGAGUGUUGGCGGACGUAGAAACUAGGUAUUCAAAAAUGGAACUAACGGCCUUAGCCCUUCGGAGUGCCGCCUAGAAGCUUCGCCCCUAUUUCCAAGCCCACCCGGUGGUCGUGCUAACUGACCAACCCCUUCGUAACAUUCUGCACAAGCUAGACUUAACCGGAAGAAUGCUUCAGUGGGCCAUAGAAUUGAGCGAAUUUGGAAUUGAGUUCCAACCUAGAUUGUCCAUGAAAGACCAAGUAAUGGCUGACUUCGUACUAGAAUGCUCUCAAAGGCCCAACCAAUGCCAGGAACCAAAUGAAGAAGAAUGGUGGACUUUGCGGGUCGAUGGAGCCUCACGAUCAUCGGGGUCCGGAGUCGGGCUUCUGCUACAAUCCCCAAUAGGGGAACAUCUGGAGCAAGCCAUCCUGCUGGGAUUCCCCGUUUCUAACAAUGAAGCAGAAUAUGAAGCCAUCCUAUCCGGAUUGGACCUCGCCCUGGCUCUAUCCGUCUCCAAGCUCCGUGUCUAUUGCGAUUCUCAACUUGUGGUCAGACACGUCCAGAAGGAAUACAAAGCUAAAGAUGAGCGCAUGGCGCAAUACCUAGCUAAGGUGAGAGAUACCUUACAACGAUUCACUGAGUGGACGAUCGAAAAAAUCAGACGAAUUGAAAAUGGGCGCGUCGAUGCCUUGGCAGGCAUAGCUGCCUCCCUUCCCAUCAAAGAAGCCAUAUUUUUGCCUAUACAUGUGCAAACCAACUCUUCCAUUGCAGAAACCUCCACUUGCAAUACCAUUGAGGCACGCCAACCAGACAGCCAAGAAUGGACGAACGACAUUAUAAAAUACCUCCGGAUAGGCACUCUGCCCGAGGAUGCCAAACAGGCACACAAGAUUCGAGUGCAAGCCGCCCGCUUUACCCUGAUUGGGGGGCACCUGUACAAACGAUCUUUUACAGGUCCCUACCUUCGAUGCUUAAGUCAUUCAGAGGCCCUGUAUGUAUUAGCAGAAUUGCACGACGGAGUAUGUGGAAAUCAUUCUGGAGGACGAUCUCUAGCGCACAGGGCCCAUUCUCAAGGAUAUUAUUGGCCCACGAUGAAGAAGGAUACAGCAGCCUACGUCAAAAAAUGCAACAAAUGUCAACGACAUGCCCCCAUACCACAUAUGCCGUCGGAGACGCUGAAACCAAUUUCAGGUCCCUGACCCUUCGCGUAGUGGGGUAUGGACAUAGUAGGCCCCUUACCAACCGCACCCGCUCAAAAGAAAUUCAUGCUCGUCGCCACGGAUUACUUCAGUAAAUGGGUGGAAGCCGAAGCAUACGCUAGCAUCAAAGACAAGGAUGUCACCAAGUUCGUGUGGAAAAAUAUCAUCUGUCGCUUCGGAAUCCCCCAAACCAUUAUAGCCAACAAUGGACCACAGUUUGAUAGCAUAGCCUUCUGAAAUUUCUGUUCGGAACUGAACAUCCGGAAUUUAUACUCCACACCGCGUUAUCCUCAAAGUAAUGGGCAAGCAGAAGCCACAAACAAGACUCUAAUCACUGCCUUAAAGAAAAGGCUCGAGCAAGCUAAAGGAAAAUGGGUGGAGGAGCUACCCGGUGUCCUAUGGGCUUAUUGAACCACACCCGGACGUCCGACAGGAAACACUCCCUUCGCCCUCACAUACGGUAUGGAUGCAAUCAUUCCUAUCGAAAUAGGGUUACCCACUAUCCGGACUAAGGCAGGAAAGUAGGAUGAUGCAAACGCGGAGUUAGGAAGAAACUUGGACUGGGCAGAUGAAGUAAGGGAAAACGCAUCCAUCCGGAUGACAGACUAUCAACAAAGGGCAUCCGCUCAUUAUAAUCACAAAGUAAGACCCAGAAGCUUCAAAAAUGGUACACUGGUACUUAGAAAAUUUUUUGAAAAUACUGCUGAAACAGAAGCAGAAAAAUUUCAAGCCAACUGGGAAGGACCCUAUAUAGUAUCUAAGUCAAGUGAAAGUGGAGCUUAUCAUCUACAAAAGCUAGACGAAACUCCAUUACUCAGACCGUGGAAUGUGUCCAAUUUAAAGCAAUAUUACCAGUGAAAAAAAGAGACAAGUACAGAUAUGAAAAAGUAUGUUUUAUUGAUAUUUGUAAAAGUUAUAUACAAAGAGUUCUCCGGACUACAAGAUAUAGAGAGAAGAUAGCAGUAAAAAUUACAAAAAGAAAAGCUCUCAUUGAGCAGGCUUGCUGCGCAGCUUUUCCUUCUCGCCUGGAGGUAUUGAAGGGACGUCCCGCUUGAUUCCAUGUUUCUUCAUACAGUAGCGAUAGUCGAAGAAGUACAUUUCAUCUACUUGCUUCUGGUAGUCCACUUCAAGUUCCUCCCUUUCUGCAGCAAACUCACCAUCCAGCUCCUCUUUUUGCGUUGUUAAGCGCAGCUGCAAAUCUUCUUUCUGCUUUUUCUCAAUGGACAUUUCUGUCCGGAAUUGCCUCACUUCCCCCCUCAGCUGGGCCAUCUCGUCCUCCGCCUCAAGCAGGCGGGCAUCCAUAGAUUCCUCUCGGCUUUUUGCCUUAGCUAGCUCUGCCCAGAGAGCCUCGUUGUCUCCUCGAGCGGCGAAUAAACUGGCUUCGGCCUCCUCCAGUCUCAAGCGCACCUUAUCUUCACUAUUUCUGCACUGAGAGGCGAAGACCUUUAUGUAAUCAACGGUCCGUAGCAAGUCAGUAAACAGAUUAUGUUGUUGGACCAUGCCGCGAAGACCACUCACCAGCUGCAAAAAAACACGCAAAAAGAAGAACAAAGUUACAAACCAUGCCACAAACAUAUCAGUAUGGCAAGAAAAAUUAAGAAGGAAAACUAUACCGUUUCCACCACUUUGAACAUUUUUGCUGAAGGCAUGACAACGUCUGAGUCGGGUGGAAUCUGUUUCAACUUCUCUUCCAACUCCGCAUAGCUGAAAGCAUUAGCAGAGAUGCAAGUUGCAUCAUCAACUGGAUUCCCCCCCUGAUGAAGCAUUGAAGAGUGACUCCUCCUCCGGGUCUGGGGCCCCAUCAGUCUCGGCCGGCUAGGUCGCUCCGGGCGAACCCCCAUCCGGGACCACCACCGGGGCAGGUGGGUUCUCUACUACCAUCUCCGCCUCGCUCUCCUCCGGAUGAUCAUCCUAGACGGACGAGUAACUGACUUCGAUGGUUUCUAAGAACCGAUCCUGAAGCUGCCCGAUGAGGCCAGACUUUAGGUCUCGCGUCGGAUGCGACCUCCUUCUAGCCGACCCUUUCACUGGUACAAGGGCAAGGGGGCUUGGCCCGCAAGAAGGCAAACUCUAGCUCUCUAUCCCCAUUUCCUCCAUUGGGGAUGCCGUAGGAGGCAAUGCUGCAGCGCAAGAAGCCUCGGCUGCGUCCCCAUCCGGAUGGGGAGAGCCGGGUUGAUUUAUUGAAGUAGCUUCUUCAGCUAGAAGAGCCAGACGACCAACCACUGACAUUGAAGGGCCUGAGUGGUUUAGACCCGCGAGAUGUCCGGACCGCUUGAAAUAGAGGGCGGGACCGGGUGUUCCGGCUCUCUUAUUGUCACUUCCUUCACAUAAGUUGAAGGAGGAAUUACAAACUCCUUCGGAGGAGUUGGGGGUUUUAAUUCUUUCCCCUUAUUUGAAACUUUCUUCUCCUUCUUUGCUGGAGCGCCAGCAGGUGGAGACGAUGCGGGCCGCUUGCCACCCGAAGCCUUCCGCAAAAGCCCUUAUUUCCUUUUUACCUCCCGGUUAUUGAGACGGGCUUUGCGGGUCCGGGCGGACGCCUUCUGCACUGCCGCGUAGAGUGGCAGGUCUUGAAGAACGAAGUGCUCCCCAACCACCACCUCUUUAGGCAGCUGCCUUGGGAGUAUGUUCAACAUGUACGGCUGGGGCUCCUGCAUAACCGAACGGAGGUUUUGCGCAGAGAGCAGUGUGUCACAACUCCGUUCGACCGCCGCAAUUUCGAAAAGCCUGUUCAAACGAUCGAACGAGGCCUUCUUCACCCACUCCACCAGUUUUCCCCUUUUAUCCAGGCCUACACUCAAGAAAGUAAAAUAUGUUAGCAACCCAACAAUGCUGACCUAAACUCACAAAUCAUGGUAAAAACAGGAAGUCAUUUAGUCAUACCUGGGACCUUCAACGACUGGUUGGGGGCGAACGGCCUGUCCGGAUGCAUUGCCAAACCCGCCCAUACGCCUUUGACCAACACAUGUCCCUUGGCGGCCCCCUUGGUCGAGUCCGGAAGGCUGGUCACCAAUUGCAGGGACGGAAGGCAAGCGACAAAGCUGAAGAUGUCACUCUUCACCUUCUUGAUUGAAUAGAUGAAGAGAACCUCCAGCAUAACAGGUCCAAAUUGAACAACAUGCUUAGGAUGCUGCACCCCAUCAGCACCCGGACCAUAUUAGGAUGAAUAUACGCCGGAGGAAUUUGGGUGAAGUGCAGAAACUCCUUGAACAAAGACGGUAGGGGAAACCGGAGCCCAGCGUUGAACUGCUCCUUGCUAAAGCAAAUAGCGUGGUCUUCACCCUUCUCAGUCGACACAACCUCCCCAUUAGUCAAUUCAACAGAUACACCGUUGGGGAUACAAAACCGUUCGCGGAAUUCCUUCACACUCUAUUUAUCCACAGACUUCUCGGCAUAAGCAUCGCCAGACAGGCCAGAUGAGGUCGCUUCCUGGUUCCCAGACAUUUUUUAGCCUUGUACUAAAAUGAAAUCUGCAUAGAAGAGGUACCAACAGUCAAAACACAGUAAAAAACCCCCCGAAAAAACCCUCGAAACUACUGACAACACCUAGUGGCAAAACACCUUGCCCAAGCAAACCAGAAACAACCAACAGGACAAAACGCAACAAGGAAAAGACAAGAACAAAUGUACGUACCGAGCGUAAAGAUGGAAGAAUAGGGUUGAAAACUGCAAAUGCAGUCACCGUCAAAACGCAAAAAUCACCAGCAGAAAACCCUAGGGCUUCACUCGGAAACGAAGGAACGCCGAAGGUAGAAGAAGAAACACUAACAAAAAAAUGCAGUAGGAAAAAUGCAAACAGAAGGCACAGUAUGCUAUUUAUACAGUGACAACCCCUCGGUAUACCAAAUGCUCAGCUACGCCAUCAUUGAAACGACACGCUACCUGGGAAUACACAGAGACGACGGCUCAUCAUAAAUGCUCUUCUCUCUCUUUGCCCCCGCUCGCCACGUGGCCCAAUGAGCGCAAAAAGUAACCUCAGUUUCAAAAAACCAAUUAUUUUUAACCCGCCCAUUCUGCUCAGGCAGAUUAGGUAAGUUAAAAAGGGGGGCAUUGUAGGGACCCCUCCUCACACGUGGCACACAUCUCCUGAUGACACGUGACACACAUUCUCAUCCGGAUUAAUCUCAUCCGGAUUUCCCCAAGAGUACACGUGACGCGCUUCUCUUAUCCGGACUCCCUCAAGGAGAGGCACACGACACUCACAAACAUAACAUUCAGAUGACUGCCACAACGCACCCGGAUGACCGACAUAUACUAUCCGGAUAUGUUUGUCCGGAUCAUUGACUGAAGUAAGCAAGUCUUACACGUUAUCACAACAGCCUGCCAUGGCCCACGUUCCGCCACCUGCAGAGUGAAAGGACAGGAAUGAAGUGACGACAAGUCACUUCCCACGAUCUCUGAUAGCCGCGACGCCUCCCACUAUCUCUGUCAGCCACCCGUAGGGUGAUGAUGGCCCUGCCACCACCUAGUGGCAUCAUGAUAAUCCAAAAUAUCUCUUUACCAUUAAAGAGGGAAACAAAGCUUCUGGUACUAUAUAUAUGAACCUUCACACAAAGAAGAAGGUAAGCCUGCUAUACCUAGUAAAAGGCCAACUGAUUUAUCUCUCUUGCCAUGGCUGACAAAACCAUCGGAGGGUCGUCCGGACACCCUGUCCGGACGCCUUUUGCAGGUGCGACUGAAUCAAGAAUCUAUAUGGGUUGAGAUCGUAUGUCCAUCCAUUUGGCAACUACGUGGAUCAUUAGGGACGUGAGGCCUCAACAAUUAUCUCCUCAGGGUUUCUUUUCCAUGAAAUCCUUAAACCAGGCUGCUGCCGUGGUGAUCACCAUAGGGCAGCCUCCUUUGAAACUGAGAGGGUAGUUCUUCUCAAGUUCAAACAAGGCCUUACAGAUUCUUCUCAUCGACUCUCAUCUUGGGUAGGGGAAGACUGCUGCAAAUGGAGAGGCGUCAUCUGCAACCACAAGAGUUUACAUGUCAUCAAACUCAAUCUGCGUAGUCUUAAUGAUGAUGGAACACAUGGCAAGUUGGGCGAUGAGAUCAGUCAUUCUUUGAAAUAUUUGAAUCAGUUAGACCUGAGCCUGAAUAAUUUUGAAGGGACUCGAAUCCCCAAGCUCAUUGGUUCAUUGGAAAAGUUGAGAUAUCUCAAUCUCUCCGGUGCCUCCUUCAGUGGACCGAUUCCUCCACAACUUGGAAAUCUUUCCAGGUUGAUCUACCUUGACAUCAAGGAAUACUUUGAUUUCAAUACAUACCCUGAUGAGUCAAGCCAGAAUGAUCUUCAGUGGAUAUUGAGUCUUUCUUCUUUAAGACACCUUAAUUUAGGAGAAGUCAAUCUAAGUAGAGCUUUUGCUUAUUGGCUUCAUGUUGUUAGCAAGCUUCCUCUUUCCGAGUUGCAUCUACCUAGUUGUGGACUUUCUGUCCUCCCUCGUUCUCUCCCAUCUUCCAAUCUUACAUCCCUUUCAAUGCUUGUUCUCUCCAACAAUGGUUUCAACUCCACAAUACCCCACUGGCUAUUCCAGCUGGGGAAUCUUGUGUACCUUGAUCUCAACUUUAACAAUCUUCGAGGCUCAAUUUUAGAUGCAUUUGCAAACAGGACUUGUCUUGAAAGUUUAAGAAAGAUGGGUAGCCUAUGCAAUUUAAAAACAUUGAUCCUUUCUGAGAAUGAUUUGAAUAGGGAAAUAACUGAAAUGAUUCAUGUUUUAUCUGGGUGCAACAAGUGUAGUUUAGAGAACCUGAAUCUGGGAUUGAAUGAACUGGGUGGUCUUCUUCCUAAUUCACUAGGAAACCUGUGCAACUUGCAGUCUCUUCUGCUUUGGGAGAACUCCUUUGUAGGCUCGAUUCCGAAUUCAAUAGGAAACUUGUCGCAUAUGAAAGAGCUAUACCUAUCUAAUAAUCAAAUGAAUGGGACCAUUCCAGAAACACUUGGACAACUUCAUGAGUUGGCUGCCUUAGAUGUCUCUGAGAAUUCAUGGCGGGAAGGUGUUCUAAUGGAAGCCCAUUUGUCAAAUCUCACAAACCUAAAGGAGUUGUCCAUCGCUAAAUUUGCAUCUCGGUCCAGACCUCAAAUUGGUCAUCCAUAUCAGUACUGAGUGGAUUCCUUCUUUCAAGCUCCAAUACCUGAAGCUGAGAUUGUCAAGUAGGUCCUAAAUUUCCAGUUUGGCUUAGAAACCAAAAUGAGCUUAACACUAUAAUACUUAGGAAUGCUCGAAUAUCAGACACCAUACCAGACUAGUUUUGGAAGUUAGACUUGGAGUUGGAUCAACUGGACCUGGGCUAUAAUCAAUUAAGUGGCACAAUUCCAAACUCAUUAAAGUUUGGUCCUCAAUCCUCAGUUUAUUUGAAUGUGAACCAUUUCAAUGGUUCUUUGCCACUUUGGUCAUCAAAUGUGACUAGCCUAUUUUUGAGAAAUAAUUCCUUUUCUGGGCCAAUUCCUCAGGAUAUCGGGGAAAGUAUGCCCAUGCUGACAGAGUUAGAUCUCUCUCAUAACUCUCUAACUGGAACCCUUCCCGUGUCCAUUGGUAAACUACAUGGUUUAAUGAUUCUGUAUAUCAUUUGUCUGGAGAAAUUCCUGCAUUGUGGAAUGGUGUUCCUAAUCUGGUGGUGCAUGUUGACCUGUCGAACAACUGAUCUGGUGAGCAUCCAACUUCAGUGGGUUCUCUGACCUACCUCAUAUUUUUAACGCUGAGCAACAAUCAUCUUUCUGGGGAACUUCCUUCUGCCUUGCAGAAUUACACAAACAUCCGUACUCUUGAUCUUGGAGGCAACAGAUUUUCAGGAAAUAUUCCGACAUGGAUUGGACAAACAAUGCCAAGUCUUUGGAUUCUAGGACUAGGAUCAAAUUUGUUUAAUGGGAGCAUUCCAUUACAACUAUGCACUCUUUCCUCUCUUCACAUAUUGGAUCUUGCCCAAAACAAUCUGUCAGGAUCUAUUCCCUCUUGCGUGGGGAAUUUAAGUGCUAUGGCAUCCGAAAUUGGAUCAUAUAGAUAUGAGGCUGAUUUGAUGGUGAAAGGAAGGGAAGAUUCAUAUAGAAACAUUCUCUAUCUUGUGAAUAGCAUAGACUUGUCCAACAAGCCUAUCUGGAGAUGUGCUUGGAGGGCUAACAAAUCUUUCAAGAUUAGGCACCUUGAACUUGUCUAUGAACCAUAUAACAGGAAAAAUACCAGACAACAUUGGGAGCUUACAAUGGUUGGAAAAUCUAGACCUCUCAAGAAACUAGCUUUCUGGUCUAAUUCCAGCAGGUAUGGCUUCUUUGACUCUCUUUAAUCACUUGAACCUGUCCUAUAACAACCUGUCAGGUAGAAUUUCAACAGGCAACCAGCUGCAAACCCUGGAUGAUCCAUCAAUAUACAGGCACAACCUUGCACUAUGUGGGCGUCCGAUAACAGCUAAGUGUCCUGGUGAUGAUGGAACCCCCAAUCCUCCCGGUGGAGAUGAUGAAGAAGACGAUGAAGAUGGAGCUGAGGUUGAAAUCAAGUGGUUCUACAUGAGCAUGGGAACAGGAUUUGUGGUGGGGUUUUGGGGAGUUUGUGGCACCUUAGUAGUUAAGGAGUCAUGGAGCCUAUUUUAGGCUUGUCUGUGACAUCAAAGAGUGGCUGCUUCUAGUUAUUCAGUUGAAUGUUACCCAUCUGCAAAGAAAACUGAAUUUGGGAAGAAGCCAGUAUCAUACUUGAACAACCUUCUGGAAUUAAGUUCCCGAAAUAAAUGAAUGCUUCUAUGUAGUUCAGCACUUCAGCUUCAUGUACAACCUUCUGAAAUAUGAAGUUUUGAUUCCAAGUUUUUUCAAACGCUUGGUCUUUUAUUUUUCUAUCUUUUGGUCACAAGUAUAUUUACUCACAUAUCGGAGACUUGCCCAAAAUAAAUAAAUGAGCUAAUAAACAACGAAGGCGAUGUCGGAUUCCCAGCAUUGCUUUGUUUCCUAUCAUCUUUUCAACACAACUCUUGACAGGGAAGCAGAUUAUGAUGAAAAAUUUAAUUAGAAGAAAAAAAAAAGGGUGCAAAUAUAGAAUCAUGGGCACAAUUGUUCAAGCUGAUCACCCACACUCCUGAGCCAUGAUUUAGUCUUUUUUUUUUUUUUUGGUGGCUGAAUCAUCGUACUACUCCAGUGUGCAUCCCUUAAAAUUUUCAAACAAUUUGCACAGGUCAAACAAAAGGAAUCAUUUCGUCCAACACUGAAUGGGUGGCAGCUUGCUUCAUAAUGAGAAAUAGAAAUCCACGAGGUUUCCAAGCUCAUUAUGACACAUUCUAUACUCCAACUACUAUGCAAAAUAAUGAAGUUUUGCACAAGUAUCCCAAGACUAGACCUUUGUAGAGCUCCUUGGAAAAUGACUUUGAAACAUGUUAAAAGCACCUCUUAACACAACCUUUUUUUUUUCCACACGCUUUUUCUCCUCUUGUCCUCUAAGAUAGCUAAAUGGAAGAGGGUCAAUGUCCACUACUGACUUGGGGUCAAUGCUAAGGACAACAACUUAAGAUAAUUAAUCUUGAAUUGUUCAAACUUGCAGUCAACUUUUACCUAACAUACCAACUGGUUUUAGGGUCUAAAAUUCCAAUAUGAACAAGGGUACCACAAAGGUUUCUUUUCAUUGUAGGAGGAGAAAACAUCGUCUAAUAAUUUAUGAUGACAUUCCAUUUCUAAUAAGUACCCUUGUGGACUAAAUUAGAGGAUAUGGUAAAAACUAGGUCUUGCUGCAAUUUAGGUCUUCACUUAAAAGGCUUAAAAGUAAGUCCUAUUGUACUCAAGUUAAAAUAAGCACUUAGAUAUUGGACCCAUUUUAAGGGUAUUGUGGAACUUUGCUCUUCUAAAGUGAGUACCCUAUAUUUGACUAAUUCCUCGCAUGGAGGCAAAGAAUGCUCAUCCUAGCUAGCAGACUUAAAUCUCUCUUAUAAAACUCUCAAAAUGACACUAUUCCCUUGUCCAUGAGUAAAUUAAAUGCUCCAAUAACUAUCUCAAACAAUUAUUUAUAAGAAGGAGAUCUUUACUAAAGAGUGCCUUAAAUUUUUAAUUGGUAUAUAAUCCAUGCUGUAAAGAACAUUAUGUAUAAACUAUAUCAUUAUAAUAAUAGAUUUCUUUAUAAAGUAAGAAAAAUCAUUAUAAUUAUCUCUAUAAAUAUUUUAAGUCACGAGGGAAAAAAUUAUCAUGAGAUGGAGAUGAGUUUGUAAUAACUAUACAUUGUAGAUGGAGAUAAGGGAAAAAGUUGGAGACACUCAGUGAAUCAAGGACUUGCAGUUCAAGGUAUACAUAUAAGGAACGGGAAAACAUGGGAAGUUUCAAGGUUCAAUAAUAUCUGUUUGUUUGUUUUUUUUUCUAUUCUCUAAAAUAUUUUUUGUGAUAUACUGUAAUGAUUUUCUUUCAUCCAUUGAUGUAAGAAUGAUUGAUUGUACUACUGAAAAAUAUGACAUACCUUUAUGUAUUGAUUAUUUUAUCCUUUUGUCACUAAUAUAUAUUAGUAUUAAAGUAUAAUCAUGAACGUUAAAAGCUCAUGUACUUUUAUAUGUAAAUUGUUUUAUUUUUGUGUUAUUAUACUAAUGUGUUGGGAUCAUGGAUGGAAAUAUUGUUUUUCACGAAUAUAUCAAUAAUUUUAUUUUACAUAUAAUAGAUAUAUUGGAAAUAUUAGUGGAUUUAUUAAUACAAAAUAUUGAUGAGAAAAAUUUAAUAAAAACUAAAAAAAAGAAGAAGAAAAGUUUCAAAAAAAAUUGUAGAAAAAGAAAUAAUACAUAUGUUUAAGUUAUUUUAUUGAACAAUAUGAUUGCUAUAUGUACAUCAAUAUUUAAAAAUUAAAAUACAUUAUAUUUAUAUUUUUGAAAUAAUUUUGUUGGAAGAUAUUGAUAAUAUUUUUCUAAAAUAAGAAUUUAUUACAAUCUAAUUUUUUCAAAGUAAGAAAAAAUCUAUAUUUGUAAUGAAUUAAUCAUUGCAUUGAAUUCUAUUUCAUAAUUAGAUUAAAAGUCAAUUUCUAAUAGUGAUCAAAAUUUUUAAAAUUCUUCUUAUUUGACUUUAAGUCCAUUACUACUUGCAAAAAAUUUAAAUUUUUAUUCAAAAAAAAUCUAUAUUUAAAAUUCUAAUAAUAUUUAUAAAAAUUUUUAGAAAAAUUUAUCUUAAAUUCUUUUAAUAUAUUUAGAUUCAUUCAUUUUAAAAAUUAAAAAUUAUGAGAAAUUUAUGAGAUAAUACUGCAGCUCAAAGGACUGCCUUUCUUGGAUGCGAAUCCUGAGCCAUGGAUGAGAAAUUUAACCCUUGUGAAUGAAAUGAUCUUAUCCGGAUUGUUAAUAAUGAGAUUAUUGGAAUGAAAAUGCUUUAUAUAAUUUGAUUAUAUAGGACUGGAACAUGAUUAAUUAUGAAUCUCUGAUAAAUUCCGUUAUAAUAUAGAGCAUUCAAUAUUAAUCAAUGAUGGUCAUAUAUGCAUUGAUCUUAAUUCUGAGUGAUUAAUAGACUCAUAUUUAUUCUAUUGUAUUUUUUGACAUACCGGGUAAUGACACAAAUACAUAGUGUCAAAUUCUUGGUGUAUUGGAAGUAUAAUAAAAUAAAUAGCCGAGAAUAUUAAUAUACAAGAUGAAAUCCAUUCAUUCGUUAAGAAGUCAGAUGGACGGUUGCCAUAAGUAUUGGUUCGGGCCUUGAAUGAUAAGAGCGCUCAAUUUAUGAUUAGACCAUAAAUAUAUUAUUCAUUAGAGAACCAAUGGCACUUAAGGAGAAAGAUAUAAUUAAAGAGGUUAACGGAAAAACCUAGCUUUAAUUAUGAACCGUUUAUGGAGGAUUGACUCAUAUGUAGUGACUAUAUCAAUGGGCAAUUCAAAUCCUUUGAAUAUAUUUAAUUUUAUAAUUUUAAGAGUGCAAUUCCAAAUUUUUAGUGGAGUAAUUUUGGAAUUAAUAAUUUUGAUUUUUUAAUUAAGUUGUUAAUUAAUUGUCAAAAUUAUUGGAGCUUAAAAUUAUAAUGUCCAUAGUUCCUCUCAACGGCUCCAUUAAAAUUAUAUGAACAUUUUUUUUAUGUUGGGUUGAUUUUAUUAGUUUGGAAUUUUGAAUUCUAAAUUAAUUUCACACAAUCUUGAUUUGAUUUAUUUAUUUUAUAAUUUGAUUAUUUAAAAUAUUUUUUGAUACAAUGUGGUGAAGACCAAAUUUACUUGUAUUCCUUAAGAAACACCUUUUAAGUGGGGAUCAUGGGGAGAGAUAUUCUCUCCCAUGUUUUUCAAAAUUCAAAGAAACACUUUUUAAGUGGGGAUCAUGGGGAGAGAUAUUCUCUUCCAUGUUUUUCAAAAUUUAAAAUAUGUCAGUUAUUUUUUUCUUCGUGGUAUUAAAAAGUUUUUUUUUCUCAAUGUUUUUCGGAUGAUGGGAUGAGAAUACAAGUUUUCAAUAUAUUAAGUUGUGUGAUAAAAAAAAAAAAAAACCCAAGAAUGAAAAACGCCCACUCGUUUUGAGUUCAUCAUUUUUUGGAGAACGUUAGAGAAAGAUCCAUGGUGCUUUAGAGGAUUUGGAAUUCUAAGAUCCUUUUGGUGGAGUUCAAAUUUAUCAGCCUAAUCGCAAGGUACAAUUCUAAAUUACCUAUAUUUGUUAUUUCAUUAAAUUAAUACAAGUAUUGAUCAUUGAAAAAAAAAAAAAAAAAUUUUGAGAAAAUUUUUCUGGCUUCCGUUUUUCUUUUAAUUAUCUGGUUUCAAAACCAACACUUUUCAACACAACUCUUGACAGGGAAGCAGAUUAUGAUGAAAAAUUUAAUUAGAAGAAAAAAAAAAGGAUGCAAAUAUAGAAUCAUGGGCACAAUUGUUCAAGCUGAUCACCCACACUCCUGAGCCAUGAUUUAGCCUUUCUCUUUUUUUUUUUUCUUUUUGGUGGCUGAAUCAUUGUACUACUCCAGUCUGCAUCCCUUAAAAUUUUCAAACAAUUUGCACAGGUCAAACAAAAGGAAUCAUUUCGUCCAACACUGAAUGGGUGGAAGCUUGCUUCAUAAUGAGAAAUAGAAAUCCACGAGAUUGCCAAGCACAUUAUGACACAUUCUAUACUCCAACUACUAUGCAAAAUAAUGAAGUUUUGCGCAAGUAUCCCAAGACUAGACCUUUGUAGAGCUCCUUAGAAAAUGAUUUUGAAACAUGUUAAAAGCACCUCUUAACACAACCUUUUAUUCUAGUAUUUUUCCCCUUUUAUUUUCCACAUGCUUUUUUCUCCUCUUGUCCUCUAAGAUAGCUAAAUGGAAGAGGGUCAAUGUCCACUACUGACUUGGGGUCCAUGCUAAGGACAACAGCUUAAGAUAAUUAAUCUUGAAUUGUUCAAACUUGUAGUCAACUUUUACCUAACUUACCAACUGGUUUUAGGGUCUAAAAUUCCAAUAUGAACAAAGGUACCACAAAGGAUUCUUUUCAUUGUAGGAGGAGAAAACAAAGUCUAAUAAUUUAUGAUGACAUUCCAUUUCUAAUAAGUACCCUUGUGGACUAAAUUAGAGGAUAUGGAAAAAACUAGGUCUUGCUGCAAUUUAGGUCUUCACUUAAAAGGCUUAAAAGUAAGUCCUAUUGACUUCCAUUGCCCUUGUACUCAAGUUAAAAUAAGCACUUGGAUACUGGACCCAUUUUAAGGGUAUUGUGGAACUUUGCUCAUCUAAAGUGAGUACCCUAUAUUUGACUAAUUCCUCGCAUGGAGGCAAAGAAUGCUCAUCCUAGCUAGCAGACUUAAAUCUCUCUUAUAAAACUCUCAAAAUGACACUAUUCCCUUGUCCAUGAGUAAAUUAAAUGCUCCAAUAACUAUCUCAAACAAUUAUUUAUAAGAAGGAGAUCUUUACUAAAGAGUGCCUUAAAUUUUUAAUUGGUAUAUAAUCCAUGUUGUAAAGAACAUUAUAUAUAAAAUAUAUCAUUAUAAUAAUAGACUUCUUUAUAAAGUAAGAAAAAUCACUAUAAUUAUCUUUAUAAAUAUUUUAAGUCACGAGGGAAAAGAUUAUCAUGAGAUGGAGAUGAGUUUGUAAUAACUAUACAUGGUAGAUGGAGAUAUGGGAAAAAGUUGGAGACACUCGGUGAAUCAAGGACUUGCAGUUCAAGGUAUACAUAUAAGAAACGGGAAAACAUGGGAAGUUUCAAGGUUCAAUAAUAUCUGUUUGUUUGUUUUUUUUUCUAUUCUCUAAAAUAUUUUUUGUGAUAUACUGUAAUGAUUUUCUUUCAUCCAUUGAUGUAAGAAUGAUUGAUUGUAUUAUGUAAAAAUAUCACAUACCUUUAUGUAUUGAUUAUUUUAUCAUUCUGUCACUAAUAUAUUUUAGUAUUAAAGUAUAAUUACAUUAAAACUUCAUGUACUUUUAUAUGUGAAUUGUUUUAUUUUUGUGUUAUUAUACUAAUGUGUUGGGAUCAUGGAUGGAAAUAUUGGUUUUCACGAAUAUAUCAAUAAUUUCAUUUUACAAAUAUAUUAAGAUAUAUUGGAAAUAUUAGUGGAUUUAUUAAUACAAAAUAUUGAUGAGACAAAUUUAAUAAAAACUAAAAAAAGAAGAAGAAGAAAAGUUUUCAAAAAAAAUUGUAGAAAAAAAAAUAAUACAUAUGUUUAAGUUAUUUUAUUGAACAAUAUAAUUGCUAUAUGUAUAUCAAUAUUUAAAAAUUAAAAUACAUUAUAUUUAUAUUUUUGAAAUAAUUUUGUUGGAAGAUAUUGAUGAUAUUUUUCUAAAAUAAGAAUUUAUUACAAUCUAAUUUUUUCAACGUAAAAAAAAAAAUCUAUAUUUGUAAUAAAUUAAUCAUUGCAUUGAAUUCUAUUUCAUAAUAGAUUAAAAGCCAAUUUCUAAUAGUGAUAAAAAAAUUAAAAUUCUUCUUAUUUGACUUUAAGUCCAUUACUACUUGCAAAAAAUUUAAAUUUUAUCCAAAAAAAUCUAUAUUAAAAAUUCUAAUAAUAUUUAUAAAAAAUUUUAGAAAAAUUUAUCUUAAAUUCUUUUAAUAUAUUUAGAUUCAUUCAUUUUAAAAAUUAAAAAUUAUGAGAAAUUUAUGAGAUAAUACUGCAGCUCAAAGGCCUGCCUUUCUUGGAUGCGAAUCCUGAGCCAUGGAUGAGAAAUUUAACUGUUGGGGAGCAUGCAGAUGCCAAGCCACAAGUUGUUACCCUUGGUGAAGUGGAAAAGGUUGCCCGCCUUGUAGAUGUCCUGAGAAACACCACGCACAAUGGUUUCCCGGUUGUAGAUGAAGGGCUGGAGCCACCGGUUGGUCUGGUCAUAGGAGCAACUGAACUGCAUGGAAUUGUGCUAAGAGCACACCUUGUUAAACUGCUGAAGAAGAAGUGGUUCCUGCCAGAGAGAAGGAGAAGAGAGUGGGAAGUGACAGGGAAAUUUACCCAGCUAAAUCAUUUUUUUAUUCUUUUCUUUUUUUGUGCAUACAAUGAUAACAAUGGCCUUCUUGUGAGAGAAACUACAGUUUUGAGGUAAAUAUGACUAACCUGAUUGUUUCCUUCACUUACAGGUGUCUCCAGUAGUUGGGAUCUUGACCAGGCAGGAUUUGAGAACCUACAACAAGUUGACAGCCUUUCCUCAUCUAGCCAAAUCCAAGGAAAGGGAUAAGGGAAACUGAGCAGCUUUUACGGAGCAUUAUCUUAAUUUAUUUUUCAAUAUUAUUGUAGAAUUUUGUUCAUUCAAAUUAUUGUUGUUUACAAGUCAUUCAGUCAGUAAUAAACAACAAGUUCCUUUUUCACAACACUAGAAAAACAGAAAUUGAUUCUUGGUAUUUCUUCUGUAGUAAAAUAUUGAAAGAAUCCUUCAUUCCUUUUGCUCUGCCACAACCUAACCUCUAGUCCCGUUGAUCGUUUUUCAGCUCCAACGCCACAUCAGUAACUAAAAUAUUCCUCACAAGGGUUUCUUCUUCCUCUUUCCUGACUUCUUUUUCUUGAGACCUACUCCUGGGCCCCUUUUGAACACAGCCAAAACCUCGCUCGAUGCUGCAAUCAUAGCCAAACAUCAUUUAUAAUAGUUAAUAAGCAAACAAAGGAAUGAAUGUAAUGUGCAUAUCAUGGCAUACAUCAGAACUAACAUGUAUUCACUUUAAGUUGCUCAAGUCAAUCAGGUAGUUAUUUUCCAUUAAGAACCAAGUAUGCCAGUACUGGAACAACAAAAAGUUAAGGGAUAAAGUUUAAAUUGCGUAAUGCAAUUUUAUGCACCUGUAUCAUGUAUGGCAUAAAUUCAAAUUUCUAGUACAUAUUCCCCUUUACCCUAAACGCAGUGAAAUAGAUUCUUUCUUCUGGAAAUUGCUAUAUGCCUAUGUUAGGAUGACAAAUCAGUAAAUCAUCAAAUAAUGAAGGCAUUUAGUUAAUCCAAGAAGUUCCCAAGAGAAAAUUUCAUAGACAGUCUACAACUGAAAAUAUGUUCAAAGCCACCUUAGUGUAAGAGACAAGCUUGAUGCCCACUCAUAUNNNNNNNNNNNNNNNNNNNNNNNNNNNNNNNNNNNNNNNNNNNNNNNNNNNNNNNNNNNNNNNNNNNNNNNNNNNNNNNNNNNNNNNNNNNNNNNNNNNNAAUCACAUGACAAAUAUCCAAGAUCUCUUUAGAGAACUUGAUAGAACAACUAUUUCCAAAGUCAGAAUUGGAAAUGGUGAGUAUAUUCCAGUGAAGGGCAAAGGAACGGUUGCUAUCGAAAGCCAAACAGGUUUGAAACUCAUUUAUGAUGUUUUGUUUGUGCCUGACAUUGACCAAAACUUACUCAGUGUUGGACAGCUCGUUGAGAAAGAAUUUAAAGUUUAUUUUGAAGAUAGGAAUUGCAUUAUCAAGGAUGCUGAAGGCAAAGAGGUGUUCAACAUAAAAAUGAAGGGCAAAAGUUUUGCCUUGAAUUUACUGGAAGAUGAGCAUACUGCUAUUUUACAACAAGAUAGCACAACAAUGUUUUGGGACAGAAGGGUCGAGCACUUUCAUCAUGAUGAUGUGCUCUACAUGAAGAAAAAUCAAAUAGUUGAAGGACUUCCUGACUUAGAAAAAGAUCUUCCUAUAUGUGCUACUUGUCAAUAUGGGAAGCAAACUAAACUUCCCUUUCCAAAGAAAAUAUCCUAGAGAGCAACCCAAAAACUGCAACUGGUGCAUACUGAUGUUGGUGGAUCUCAAAAAAUGUCAUCCUUGAAAUGGAAUGCAAACAAUGUUUGGUGGAUCUCAAAAAAUGCCAUCCUUGAAAUGGAAUGCAAACAAUUUUGGGCUAAAACUGCAAGUAGAGCAGUAUAUUUUCUGAACAUAUUGCCAACAAAAAUGUUAAAGAAGCAGACCCCUUUCGAAGUUUGGUUUGAGUGUCUAUGUGCAAGACUUGGAGUUUGCAUCUACGAAGUCAAGGAGGAGUGUUGAAUUUUGACUUAGUAUUUGCUGGAAUUUGAAUUUUGAAUAUUGCAGCUGGAGUCUUGCACAAAAUCUGCAACAUCUAGAUAUUUUCUUAUUUUUAUUUGGUCAAGAUUUGGUUUCUAUUUUAUAGGAAGUAGUUGUUCAUCAUCUAGUAGCUUGAUUUUCUGCUAUUCUAAUGUCAUUUAAGUUACAAGUUCAUGUAUAAAUUCAGCAUUCUUCAAUCAAUAAAAUAAGUUCCAGCAGCCCAAAAUAUAUUUUUUGUAUAAGUAUUUAAUCUUAUACCAACACCAACACCUACACCUUUCUUGUCAGACGGGCUACAUUCAGUGCCACAGCCAGAAGGAGCCUAUCUUUCAUUUUGUUGACAAAGCGAAAAUAAGCAUAUCUCCAUGACUUCUUGAUCACUAAUGUGCCACAAACUCCCCAGAGUCCUAUGAUGAAUCCCAGUCCCAUGCUAACAAAGAACCAUGGCAACUCAGAGUCAUCUCCAUCUUCAUCAUCUUUGUCUUCUCCUUUCCCAGUUGGAAUUGUUCCAUUGUUGUCAUGACACUCGUUUGUUAGAGGAAAUCCACAAAGUGCGAGGUUUCCCUGGUAAAUAGACGGAUCAAUCAAGGUUUGAAACUGGUUGCCUGUUGGGAUUUUCCCUGACAAGUUAUUGUGUGACAGAUUCAGGUGAACCAAAAAGGUUAUGGAAGCCAUGCUCAUUGGAAUUGGACCAGAAAGUUUGUUUCUUGAUAGGUCGAGAGUCUCCAACCACUGCAAGUUUCCAAUCUUUUCACGUAUAGUUCCCCCCAAAUUAUUGCUGGACAAAUUCAAGGUUCCCAGUUUCAGAAGGCUUGUUAGUUCU